UUUUUUUUUAAUCUUAUUUUUCUAUUUAAUAACAUUCACCGUCAGAAGACUAGGUUCCAUCUACAAAAUAUUCAAUUGAAAAUUAAAUUUUUGCUGGAUAAGCUUGAAAUUAUUUUAGGCACGUUGAGUCUCAAUUUCAAAGGGACCGUAAGGUCUGAAGUAGUUAACUGUCAGUCUUGGAAGCAAAUGUCUUACUCCAUGAACUGGACCCUUAAUCCACUACGGCCGAAUAAAUACUUAUAUAAGAAAAAUUAAGAAAAAUAUAAUUCUUAUCAAUAAACUAAAAUUAAUUUAUGUAUAACAGUAUAAGUCGACUUAUACAAGUUAUCUCAAUUUACUUUCUCCACAAGUUUAUUUAGUCAAACCAACUUAUAAAUUAUUAAAUUAACUUGUUAAACACACUAUAUUAUACACUAGACAGAAAACCUAGGUGAUGCACGGAAAUUGUGAAGGGACUAAUUUUUUGUCUGUAAAAAAAAUAUUGAUAAUUUUGUCAAUUUCUUAUAUCUUUUAAAAAAAAUACUAUAAAAAGAAAAGAAAACAAAGAAAUGAGCAUUUCCUGUUUCAUAUUAUGAGCCAAUGGUUAUCUACAAAUGUAGACAAAUAUUUUCUUUUAAUUUUAAUUCAAAUGCUCCAUUCUUUCAAAGAAAAAAAAAAGUUAUAUACCAACAAUGUAAAUUUUUUUACAUAAAUCAUUCAAUUUAUAAUAAUAAUAAUAAUAAUAAUAAUAAUAAUAAUAAUAAUAAUAAGUUUGUUAAAUUUUAAAAUGAUCAUCUUAAAAUAAUUCAAAACAAUAAUUUAUGACUAAAUGAUAUUAUAAAAUAAUUUUAUACACGUCUUUGUACCCUUAGUACAUAAACAUUAAAUUUUUUUUCAAAAAUAAUCUUUUCACGAAGACAUGAUUUCACUAAAAAAAUAUGUAAUAAAAAUAUAUUUCUAUUGUGUAAGAAAUGCAAACCUGUCAUUCCACUAUAUAGUUUUACAAAAUAUCAGAAAUUGAGUUUAAUUGGCUUGAUCUUAAAUGAAACUAGCAUAUAAGUUGAUAAAAUGAUAGUUCGUACUAACUUGAAUGAUAUCCGGUAUAGUACUUUCUAUUUAAGAAUGAUUUUUUUCUAAAACGUGGUCUCAACAGUUUAGCAUAAAAUAUUAUUCACACUCCCAAAGUUAUUCAACACACCUCCCUUUCCUUUUUUAUAUUUGUUAUUUUCUAAAAUGCCCUUUUAUUCAUACCUCUCCCUAAUUAUCCAAGAUGUUGGGAUGGAGGUAUCCUGAUAUAGAUCAGGACUAUGUGACUGAAUUUGGCUAAAAUAUAUGGCACAAAACUCUGCCGAGGAUGGCUUUAUAACUAAUUCUGAUCAUUACAAUACAGACUACAUUCGGGAAAUCUAUUCUAAUACUAAUGAUUGCAAGAAGAGCCAUAGUUUUUUUAUUAGUUUGUUGGCUGCUGCACUGUAUACAAUGCGUUUUUAGAUAAUGGAGGGGUAGGUUUAUUUAAAGCAUGGCUUGGAGGUAUUUUGAAGUAGACAAGGUGGGUAUAAAUAUGGAAUCUGGUUGCUCCGGUUGGCUGGAAUUCGAGAUAAUAAUUUAAAUGUCUUGAUGAAGUUGCUCCGGUUCAUCUUUGCCUUCGUCAUUAGCAACGAGUAGGGGCAGAGAGUUUGGAUAAUUAGAAAAAGUAUAAAUAAAAAGGCAUUUUGGAUAAUAACAAAUAUAAAAAAGGAAAGAAAUAUAAGGUUAGUCUAAUGGUUGAAGAAUGAUGAAGGAAGAAGAGGAAAAGGUUGUGAGUUCAUUUCUUCCAACUAACAUUUCUAAUAAAACUAAUAAAUUAGCAUUUGCUGAGAAAAAAAAGGGAGGUAUGUUAAAUAAUUUAUUGGUAUGAAUAACAUUAGUCUGCGACAUAAUGCAACUGGAUUUUCCAGCCCGAACACAUUUAUUUGGGCCUGGUAAUGAGUCAACAGCGUUUCAUUUCUUGUUUAGGCUAAGGGAGUUACUAUUUGCACUCCCACAUGUGGCUAAUACACUCUCCUUUUGAAAAUUUCCCCCCAAAAUAUCCUGUGCUUUAGAAAUUAAAAUACCACGGUGCUCCUUAUGCCGAUUGCCUACAUGGUUGCUUCUCCUACUACUAUCUUCGACCUCAAUUCCUCUCCAUCACCACUAUCCUCGUUGUCAUACCAAGGACUUCAUCUCUAGUUUUAUAAAGCACCAGUGCAACUUCAUCCCUAAAUCCAAGUACCUAUCAAAAUCUGAUAAAAAUCAUUUUUGUUUUCUUCUGAAAUCUUCUUGUUUCUCCUUAAUCUCCACCAUUGCUCAACACCCUCAUUAACCCAACAAAGAGGAUCAUAGAUCCAACUUAAACCUACAUCAUUAGAUCCAAUAACAAAGAACCCACUCUUGCUACAGUGACGAACAUGUGCUCAAGCCUCAAGGUGGACCUUUCAACAUCAAGAUAAGGGAUACCAUCAAAAGGGCCAAGUAGAGGGGAGUGCAUUAGUUUAUGAAAUAUAGGGUAUUUUGGGAAAAUAAAUUACAAAAGAGAGUGCAUUAGAAAUAAAGGGCAGUGUAAAUAGCAACUCCCUAGGCUAAUUGGUUGGGUUGAGCUUGGAGUCUGGCAUUAGAACCGGGACAAGUUAAGGUGGGAGAAAAAAGAAAAAUAAGCUUAGUCACUUAGUUGGUAAAUGUAAAUCAAUUGUUGAUUCUAAACCUAUUUUAAUGUUUUAUCAUUUAAUAAUCAAUAUCAAUUUGUUUCUAAAGCUAUUUACGCAUAUAAUAUUGUAUAUAAAAACGAAUUAAGGGAGAAGAUAUCACAUAUUUGUCUUCGUAAACAUGAUACGUAUUAAAGAUAGGAACAAUACAAUGACAUGAAAUUGGUGAGCUCAUAGAGAAAAUUUUAGAAAAGGAACUGCAUUUACACUUGACAACGACAAUUGUGGUGUGGCAAUUCCAUGAAGAAAAAAUGUUAGAGACUUGAGGGAUAAUACUAUGGUUCGGAGAAUCUCUGCUUUUGAGACAAUGGGGUCGACUCAACAAUUAAUUUGCACUACAAUAUAAUCCCAUCGUGUUAUUUUCCAAGUCAAGCUUCACUAUAAUAUAAAGUUUUAGCUAGUAAAUACAAUAAAACAAGAUGAUAGGAUGACCUUGUUAUAUCCUCUUGAAGGGAUGGAGAAUAUGAAAUGGGAAAAUAUUUCUUAAUCUUUUCAUGUUGGUUUGUAAGUCAACCUGUACUACAAAAUAUAAAUCUUUAAGUGGUAAAUAGAAUAAAAUGAGCAAUUGAUAGUACAUUUUUUUUCCUGCCACUAUGCAGGAAGUUAUGUAAGGAUGCUCUGUUUUUUUUUUUUUUUUUUUUUUGAAUAAAAAAGGUUAGGAGAUACAUACAAGUAUUGGCAGGGAGGAGUCCUAGACGUAGGCAGCACAAAUAAUCUGUAGCAGCAUGUGCUAUUCCAACUUUAAUGACACAUUUGAUCGGAUAUAGAUACGGAUAUAAAUAUUAUCUUACUUAAAUAAGGAUGAAGAUAAAAAUGAAUAUUAAAACCUUAAUAUAUAAUUUAUUUGAAAAUAUAUAAAUAAAUUUAAAUUAUAAAAAAAUGUAAUCCCAUAUACGCAUGGGCUAUUUCACUCCAUUCUUUAUUUUACGUUUUCUUGGGAAAAUUAAUUGCAAAUAAAUUUCAAUCCAUUUAAUCGAUCAACUCGCUAAAACCCCGUAUUUUUUUAUUUUUUUUUAAGUCAAAUUUUGCUUUGAUUACCCUAGUAAAGAUAUAUCAUGCAUCUGAACUCAAUAAAACUCGACAGAUAUGAGAAUAAAUAUUAAAAUUAUAAAUUCACAUCUUUUAUUUAUAUUUAUAUUGUAGCCGUUCUGUCUUUUAAAAGAAUGAAAACGAGAAGCAUCAUACUCAUCGGCGAUCCUCGGAGUUGCCAUCCCUAUUUGGAUGUGCUUGAAUUGCAUAUUUUCUGUGGACCGCAUCUCCUGCUUAAUCUAAUGCUCUUAUGUUUUAAUAGAUGUCGUUUUGCCUUUCCAAAUAAAUAAAAUGAGUAUGUUUGAUUAUUAUAUAUUUAGAAAAUUAUUUUAUAAAUUAAAACUGAAAAACUGAUUUUCAGAGUGUAGAAGUAGGGGGAGAUGAUAUAAAAAAUGUAUAAAAAAAAGAACAUGAGUAAUAGGAAACUGAAAUAAUUUAAAGAUAUUCUAUUUUUUGUUUGUUUUAAAACUCUAAACGAACGUAUUCAUUUUGAUUUUUUUUUUAAAUCAGAAAAUAGUUUUAAAAAUCAUGAAACAAAGAGGGCCUAAGUAAUAGAAUUAUCUGAUCAUAUUUUUUUGUUAAAAUUAUCUUAUCAUAUUUUAGUAAGAGACAGAGAAAACCAAAGUGAAAGUAAAUAGCAAAAUAUAUUCUCAAUUCUAUCAUAAUAUAAUAUAAAAUUUUAACUGAUAAAUAAAAUAAGAUGAAAACAGUUAUGUUACCAUAUCCUCUUAAUUCAAGAAAUUAUCCUGUAGAUUAAGAUUAAACACAAAAAGUUGUGUUUAUCUUAUGUCCAGCAAAAAAAACACCGUGUUUAUCUUAUCGGUUUAAUUAAGGUGUUUUUAUCAUUUGUAUCUUUGUCCUUAUAGAAGAAGUGAUUUUUUUAAUUUUUAUAGUUUAUAUUAAUUAUCUUUUAGUUUCUGUAGUUUGAAAAUAAUUUUAGUUUUUAUAAUUUGUAUUUUAAUUUUUUUUAGUCUUUAUAAUUUAUAUUUUAAUUCACUUUUAAUCCUUAACAUCAAAAUAUGAGUAAUAUUAUCAAUUCCAAUUAAUUAGAAAAAUAUUAGUAACUAAUUCAUAAUUAAUUUAUCGCAAGAUAAUAUGUAAUAAAAAAAUAAUUGAUAAUUUAUAAAUAAAAAAAUAGUUGAUAAUUUAUAAUUAAUUUGUAGCUAAUUAUUUUUAUAUAAUUUUUUGUAAUAAAAACUAAAAGAUAAUUAAAAUAUAAAUUAUAUAAACUAAAAAAAUCAUUUUUAAAUUAUAGGUACUAAAAAAUAGUUAAAAUAUAAAUUAUAAGGAUUAAAAAGACCACUUUUAAAUUAUAAGGACUAAAAGAAAAUUAAAAUAUAAAUUAUAAAUAAAAAAAACCACACUCAAAUUAUAAAAACUAAAAAUACAAAUAAUGAAAUGAUAAGAAACAAAUAAUUAAUUUAACUUGCUAAAAAUAAAAAUGGGGCGUAACGUAAGAGUGAAAUGAGAUAGAGCAGUAUGUAGAGUACAAGUGGAGAGGUUGAAACAGCGGUUAUAUAAGAAAAACAAGGUACUAGAAAAGACAGAGACAUAUAUAUUAUGUCGUAUUGCCAUCCUAGAUUCCAAUCCUUCCUUCCUUCACAUUCUAUUCUAUUUACCCUUUGUUGGUCCGCGAAGUUUCUUGUUUCCUCCAACAUAUAAUACCUCAUCUUUCUCUUUCAAUUUCUCUCUUCGCUUUUUUUUGAUUCACACACAAUGGGUCUCUGGGAUUCCUUCCUCAAUUGGCUCCGCAGGUAAACCUCUUAUCCACAAUACUACUAUUUGUUCAUUAUAUAUAUAUAUAUAUAUAUAUAUAUAUAUAUAUAUAUAUAUAUAUAUAUAUAUAUAUAUAUUUGUACUUAUUUGGGAUUUAUUAUCUGUGAAAUUUCAUCCUAAAUUUUGGGACAUGCUUUAUUGAUUGAGAUUCAGAAAAGCCUUAAAAGUUGAGCUUAGGUUAAUUGGUUUUAAGGGUUCCUUUUAAGUCAAGCCCUUUAAUGAUUGUGAGUUUCUGUUUGUUGGUUGUGUCAGCUUGUUUUUUAAACAGGAGAUGGAACUUUCACUUGUUGGCCUUCAGAAUGCUGGCAAGACUUCUCUUGUCAAUGCAAUUGCUGUGAGUUGCUGCUGCUGCUGCGUUGCAAUUUUUUACUCAAUUUAGAAACCCUGAAGUUCAGUUCUAGUAUAACUGUUAUUGACAUUGGUAUUUGGUUUUGUUUACCUGCAGACUGGGGGCUACAGUGAGGACAUGAUUCCAACUGUGUGUAUCUAUCUUUGCUUUUUGAUUGCAUCUUGAAUGGUUACAUGUUUGAAGAUUGUGAGCAUGUUUGCCUUUGUAAUUGAAAUAUAAUUCUUGGUGUUAAACCCAGGUUGGUUUCAACAUGAGAAAAGUGACUAAGGGAAAUGUCACAAUAAAGCUUUGGGACCUUGGGGGACAGAGGAGGUUCCGAUCAAUGUGGGAGCGAUACUGUCGGGGUGUCUCUGCUAUCGUGUAUUGUCUCUCUUACUGCUCUCUCUUUCAGCUAUAUAUUCGUGAGUGCAAACAUAUGUAUAUACAUUCACACACACACAUGACACAUGCAUAUCUUUCAUUGUGUUUUUUAAGUUUGGCUUUGAAUCAAAAGUUGCCAAUAAUCUUAGACUAAUAGGAUAUUUCAGUAUAGUGUUUUAAGGAUAAUGAUUUUUACCCCUCAAAAGUUCUCUCAAGAAGCUGGCACAAAAUUGAUUAUUUCUCCAAAAUAAGUUUGAGCCAAACAAAUACUGACUUGUAAUUUUUAGGUUUUAUAUGCUCUUUUUUUUUCUUUUUAACUUUUUAGUUUUUAGACUUCAAACAGGAAAUUGUCUGCAUUGUACAAUUUCAUUGGAGGUUUUUGUAAAUAGAGUUCCAUUUCAUGCCAUUUUACUUAAGAUACCUCAUACUGUUAGAGGGUUUUUUCUGGUUCCUUGGAGAAGUCUAGAAUAAUCAACCAUGUAAAUGAGGGUUUUAUCCUUACCCUAAGUGUGCAUUUGUUUGAAGAAGUAGUAAGUUAUUUUUAGGAAAGUGAACUUGGGAAUAUAAUAUUUUCAUGUUAUAAAUUUUUAAAAAAUUGAGCAUUAUUAAUUCCCUGGCAAGUGACACAUUCCAAGUCCUGUCUUUUUUUUAUUCCUGUGAUGAGGGAUGGCCGGAUGGCUAUGUUGCUUUCCCAUUCCUAAGCUAUCUUGUCAUCCAACCUCUGUGGCACUACCACUCCCCACUUCUACCACAGUCUUUAUCCCAUCAUUUGAAUUUUGCAAAACAUUUCCAAAAAUGUUACAAUGCUAGCCAAACAUUCAUAAGCAUAUUCUUUCAAAACACAAAGGCCUCCUAAGAUCUUUUUAGGAAUUAGGAGAAAAGGAAAAUGUUUGUGAAGCCUACUCUUAUAAUGAUUACCUAUUGCAAUGACUAACCAUCCUUUAAGUUUAUUUAAGCUAUCAAGAAAAUACUUGGGAACAGUUUUUAUUUACAUCAAUAAUAUGUACCCUCAUGCAAAUAGACUUUGGGAUUUAAGUGAGGACAAAUUUUAUUUCACCACUAACAUAUGCUGAAGCAUAAUUUGAUAUAAGAUGGAAGUAUUAAGAAUUGAACACCUGACUUACUCAUGGAAGAGGCUCAUAUGCCAUAUGAUGGUUCAAUCAUCCUUGAAGACACAUGGAUAUUGUCAUUUAUAUUGCAUAGAUCUCUAACAACAUAUAAUACAGGAUACUCACCCCAAAAGCAGUUUUUAUACUGUUGUCUUUUCCUGUUUAUGUUUCAAACACAAAGAAUGGAAAACGUAAUGCUUGGUUGUAUCAAAAUCUAUUGUUUCUGAUGAUCUAAUGGAAUGUUGGUCAUGCAUGCUUCAUCUUGUGGAGUGUUAUUAUAUAUAGCUCUUUCAAAUUAUUGGAAAUGUCCAUUCUCCUUGUUUUUACACUUUUGUUCUUUUCCUUGAUGGAUGCUAAGACAGAUAUGUUGUAGAUGCCGCUGAUAGAGACAGUGUUCCAAUAUCUCGAAGUGAGUUACAUGAUCUAUUGACAAAACCUUCUUUGAGUGCGAUUCCUUUGCUUGUUCUUGGAAACAAAAUUGACAAGUCAGAAGCUCUUUCUAAGCAAGCAUUGGUAGAUCAGCUGUGAGUUCUAGAUAUCAAUAUUGUCUUAUAUCUUUUUUCUUUAAAAAAAAAAAAUUGUCCUGAUGUGUUAUGUAACUAAUUGAACAUUUGGAUUUUCUCCUUGGUUGAUUUCAGAGGACUUGAGUCAAUUAAAGACAGAGAGGUCUGCUGCUAUAUGAUUUCAUGCAAGGAUUCUGUUAACAUAGAUGUAGUCAUUGACUGGCUAAUCAAACACUCAAAAACUGCAAAGUGAUCCUUGGUUUGGCCAGUAUUUCAUUUUUAGUCAAAGAUACAAGGCGUUGAGGAAAUUCCUUCUUGGUAGAAGAAUACAUUUUCAUUAAUUUAGUUGUGGUUCAAGUUUGUUUGUAUAGUAAUCAAACCAGGUCAGAUCACUCAAAUAUUGCAUGCAGUGUUCCUAUGUAUCAUAAACCGAUUAGUUGAUCUCGUACAUUUUAUUUUUUUUGGUUUCUAUUUUUAAUAAAAUACAAGUCCAACAAGUUUAUUUGUCUGAAAAAUUGAAUACUAUUGUGUUCCUUAUAUGGGGAAAAAAGUUAUAUCUUGAUGAAUGCUUCCCAAAUCACCAUUUGAAAAUGUAUCAACACUUGUCUUAGCAUUUGAAAGUAGCAAAGGCAUUGGAUAUUACUUGGCAAUCAAUUUAUUAUAUACAAGAAAGAUGGGCAUUAUUUAGAUUAGCGUGUGAUUUUUUGGUAUUUUUGUUUUUCGUUAUCUAGAAAAUAGCCGUGUUUGUAAGUUGUAACUUGUAACGCUUGUUUUAUAUGAUAAUAUGCAGCAGCAUAACAUGAGAAAUGACCUGUAUCUUUUCGGUUACAACAACAGUAAAAAUGACCAUUAAAUUACUGGAGUUGAAUGAUGAAUCUUUGGAAAUAGAAAACGCACAAAUUUCAUAUUGUGGUGUACAACUAUAGGGUUUUUCUUUCUAAAAUAAUACUAAAAUAAUAUUUAUCAAAAUAAUAAAAAAUAUAAUUACCAGUUUACGUAUAAUUAGAAAACGCCUAAUAAAAAGAUGUCAUUGCUCUUUUACAAGUUUAUAUUUUUGUUUUUCUAAGAAAACUGAAAAUGCCGACUUGUUAGGCGUUAACACCAUCUUUUAUAUUUUUAAAUAAAAAUAAAAAUAUAAUAAAUAUAAGUAAUGAUUAUAAGCAUACUCGUAUAUUAUAAUUUUAGUUAAAAUAUACUUGUAUCCUUCGUCUUAUUUUUAUUUUUUGGUUCUUUAAAAGUACUAAAAGAAUUGAAUUGGAGGAUAUAUAUUACAAGUUAUAACUUCACUAAAUAACUACAAACAAUAUCGGGCAAGUUAAACUUUUUUAACACAUCAUGGUGUAAAGUGAAAAAUCGUUCUUAGAUUGUCUCAUUGGUUAAUUAAGUAUGUGACAUCAUGACAACUUAUUCUUUUAUUUUAUUUUUAUAUUUAUGAUCAAGAAGCCUUAUUGAUAAAUUUGUGAGAUCAGGUCUCGGGUGAUAGGUGAUGGAUAAGGGAUGUCUUCCUUAGAAUAAUAAUUUCAAUAUUUGAACUCUUAAUAUUAUAAGUUUAACUGCUGUAAAAAAAAAUAUUAUAAGUUUAACUUAUAGUUAACUUUUAUUGGUAUUAAUAAAUAGUACAUGAAUUGAUAGUGUAAUAAAAAUUACAUUAUUAUUUAAUUAAAAAUUAUCAUAUAUAUAAUAAGUUUAUUAACUUUUAUAAUGACUCUCAUAAAAUUGAUAUCAAUAAUGAUUUGAAAUUAAUUGACAGUUUAAAAACUUUUUAUGCUCAAGGUACAUGCAUAUUAAUUUUUUAAAGUAUGUGACAAGUUGGAAUGCAAUAAAUAGAAUACAAAUUUUUUUUUUGAAGAAAAUUAAAUUUAUAAUAGCCUGAGUAAAAGAGAGAACUUGAUUUAGAUUUUUGUUAUACUUAGUAAAUUUAAACUGAUGUUUACUUUACAAAUUUUUCCAUAAAGAGCUUUUUCAUAUGGACCGUAUAAUCGCCCAUAACCCAUUAGAUAGAUGACUCCAAACCAAUUUCUCAGAAGGCCCACGACUUCUUGAAAAAAUAAUUUUGUUUUAUCUCAUCUGAAGGUUAAAAAUAUCUAUUCUUUCUAUGUAUUGCUAAUUUGAUUCAAUGGUCAUUAUUAAUUCAAAUAUUUAUUUAUUUUUAUUUGGUGGACUAUGGCUAUUGCCCAGCUGCCUGUGCGUAAUUGUUUUUGUUUGGCCACUAUUAUAAAAAUUAAAUGAUAAAUACAUAUAAGUAUUUUUCACAAAAGGUUUCACUAAACAUGAAAGUCAUGGCUGGGAUUUUUUUGCCAAUUACUUUCUAGCAGCCCUAAAAAUAUCAACUAUUAAUUCCUUUGUGUAGACUUUUGUGAUAAAUCUUUGUCUUUCAACCACUAUUUUUUAUACUAAAACAUGUUAAUUAGCUUAUUUCUUCAAUAGCGUCUGCGUUAUGCUAAAUUAUUAUACUUCCUUCUCAAAACUAUUUUUAAUAGAUGAUGUGUUUGAUUGAAUGCAACGUUUUUGACGCAAGUUUCCCCAAGCAAGAAUUGGAAUUUUCUAUAUAUGCAAUGUAUGAUCGAAAAUCCGUGAAAUAUCUUUGAGAAAACCAAUCAACGGAGAAGAAAAAACAUCACCCUAGGCAGUAUAUAUAUAUAUUUUUUUUCCUGAAAAUUUCAAGUAUACUUUUCCUCGUUGAAAAUUUUGUGGAUUUGAGAGAAGCACCUGUUAACAUUUGAGUUGACCGUGAUGUCAGCAACGUCAAAUUUUAAACUUCUUGAGGUAACAAUUAUGAUGUAAGCGUGAAGUGUCACGAAUAGAGAAAUUAGAUUAAAUUAUAUAGAUAGACGAAAAAAUACACAUAUAAUAUAUUAAUAACUUAAUACUCAAUGAAUAUAAUUCCGUUGACAAUACAUGCACUCUCACAUUGGACUAAAAAUCCUAAUUGGAUUGGUUGAAAAAAAUAUUAACCACCUAAUUACCUAAUAAUUGACCGAAUCACAAUUGAGAUUUUUGAUUUGUACGCUAAGAGCUCUACACGCAUGCACUUGUUUGUCUAAAUGUGUCAAGUACUUUAACAGUGCCGAGAGGAAGUUCAAAAGAGCACGUUGUCCUGUAGUUCUUUCUUUUCUUUCCCUCAUAGUUGUGUACAUAAUUAUUUUCAAUAAAUAUUAAUUGCAUUAGACAUGAUGAUAAAAGUUUCCAAUUAGGCACAACAUAUUUUGAAACCUAGCUAGUUCCAUGAUACUCAAAAUUAUCGCUCGUUAUAGUCAAGAAUUUAUUUAUUUUGUUGGAUGAUUUUGAAAAUCAUUGUUCCCAUGGACUUUGCGACUCUUAUCUAAGAUUUCAAACACUUAUUAACGUAAUAACACAGGCAUCAUUUCCUCACUAUUGUUGUGUAGGACAAUUAUGUCUCUCACUGACAUGUGAAAGGGCAAAAGAGGAUCGGUGGUUGCAUACACCAGCCACACGUUAGAAUGAUCUCAAAAUUUAUAAUAUAAAAUGUUAAUAAAAUGAUUUUAAAAAAUUGUCUAAAGUUCAAAGUCAGUACUACAUGACUUAUUAGGUGGCACUACGCAGGUAAGUCCAAGAUGGGUAGUUGUUGUUAUACGUCAAGGAUUUAUACUCUACUGAGAGAAUUGAAUAAAACAUAGAUCUUACGAAAUCGAAUUAACCCAGAAGCAGUUUUGUCAAGAAACCAGGAUACAUGCAUAGAAAGAGGAUACGUACAAAUCCAAUUUUUAUGCCAUUUUUAUACAAUAUAAAAUGUUUUUAUUCAUCAAUUUUAGUUUAUAUGGAGUUAAAUUUGUACCCUUUUUGUUGUUCAUUUUUAAUACUUCUUAAUUAAGGACUAAAAUUCAUAAAUAAAAAUAAACGAGGGUAUAAAAAUAAAUAAAUAAAUUUUAAUAAUUAAAAUCUGAAACCUGAAAUUGUAUAGAGACAAAACCUGAUUUAACUGAAAAAUUGAAUAAAGCAUAUAUGUUAGGAAAUCCAACUAACCAGCAGCAGUUUGGUCCAGAAACCAGGAUACAGAAACAUAUAGGAUAGGUACAAAUCUAAAUAAAAUAAAAUAACGGUCUUCUUAAUUAGUGUUCUGAUUUUUAUUUUGUUUUUGAAAGAACUAGUGUUCUGAUUUAGAGAUUAACAAUAUAAUUUUUUUAAUUAAAAUUUUCCUUAAGUAUGUACUGAAAGUAUACUGAGAUGCAUUAGUAACACUUUUUAAUGUACUUUUUUAACUAUUUUUUUUACGGUAUAAUGAGAAGUAGUAGUAACUUUAUUUUGUUUCUUUAAUCACAUUGGUUACUCUUUGUCAUUAAAAAAAUAUAGAUACAAAGAUGAUUUAGAUGGAUAAAAACAAGUUAGUGAAUGUCCCCUAAACUUAUUAUACCUACACAAUCUUGCUGUUAAUUAACAACUCAAACUCGGAGAAGAUUUAACUUGGGAACCGGCUGCUAGAAGAAGCAGGACUAAUCGUCAGUUAUUAAAUACAUAGAUUCUUCCAAUUUGGAGACACAACUUGAUUUUUGGGACCUAUGGUAGAGAACUGAAUCGCUAGUGUUUCGUUAAUUAAAGAAUGAUCAUGCAUAAAUUAAAAAUGAUGUAUAUCAUAUCAUUGGAAGGAAACUCAACAAAUAAUAAACAAAAACAGAGUUGUUAAUGGAGUAAGUAAAUGCUAUCGGUUAGAGAAGGUUGAUUUCAACAUUAAAAAUGCUUUUUUUUUUGCCAAAUCGAUCAAUAAAUAGUGAUAAUGUAUGAUCAUGAUAAUCUUCUAGGGAACUAGGGAAUGAACGGUCAAACACAUUAUUAUAAUCAUGUGUCCUAAUGGACCGUAGAUAAAUAUUAAUUAGAAAUUUAGAAUUAUAAACUUCGUUGUUGACAACUAUGAACCUUAUGUGUAUUUUUACUAUUUUGGUAUAACUAUUAAAGAUGUGUUUGUACUUUGUAUAUCAGUUGAAUUAUUGUGUCUUAUUGAUAUCAAGACAAAUUUAACAGGUGAAGUUGAGUGUUGCAUGAUUUAAUUUUGAGAAACAAUUCAAUGACAAUGAUAAUUUCUUGCCGUGCUCAAACGUGAUUUGCUUUGCUCUCUAACGGAUAUUAGGUGCCAUUUGUUUAGGGUUUGAUAAAAUUAAUUUUCGUUGUUGAAUGUGAUUCAGAUCUGAGAUAUAAUUAUGUUUGAGUCGGUCGGUGGAUAGAAUUAUUAUGUAUGGUAAUUUUUUUUGAAUAUUUGAUAUAAUUAUAUAUAUUUAAGAUUCGGAAUUAAGAUUAUUGUUUAAAUUUUAAAAAAAAAUUGUUUAAGAAUUUUGAGGACGAUGUCCCUACACUAUAUAUAAGGAUACAUGUUUAAGAAUUUUUUCCUUCUAGCUAUAAUUUUCCAACUUUCCAAAGUGUAUAGUUUCUGCCCUCCAUUGACCUUUCAUUGCGCAAGCAAUCUUUCAAUAUAAUUUUCUCCAAAUUAAUACGAGUCUCUUCACUAUUUUUUUGGAUAACGUUAUAUAUAUGAACAUGGUACUUCGUUUUCUGAAUCAUUUAUCAAUAUGAAGGAUAUAUUUAAGUAGAAAAAGCAUCACUCUUCUUUCGGGAGUGAAGCAACAAUUUGGAUAAAACAAUCACAGUUGAGUCCAUUCACCAUAUAUACAAUUAAGACGAUGCUAUUAUCAUGACACAAUAGUCAACAGCAAAAAUAGUUUGCAAAUGUCAAAUUCAAAGGUUGCUACUACUCUCUACUGGGUUGUUGCUGUUUCAUUUUCUCCAUCCCCUCAAAAAUAGCCGGCAGAUAUACUUACCUAGGCAAAUUCAUUCAGUCACCAAGACACACAAAUAAUAAUAAUAAUAAUCGCAUAUACCUCUUUGAAAUAUCGAUCGAUCAGCUAUGAACUCAGAAUAAUAUAUAGAGGUUACACACUAAAAGAAAAUAAAUUAAUUAACAAAAUAUGCUGUGAUAUAUAUAUAUAUAUAUAUAUAUAUAUAUAUAUAUAUAUAUAUAUAUAUAUAUAAUUAUAAUUAAACCUGUAUCUUAGUGUUAGCAAUUCUAUUCCAUGGGGGUUGGGGAAUUCAUUAUUCAUGAUAUGACGUGACUACACAGUGAAGAAUGGCAUACUAAAAUACCUUGUCAUUUUAUUAAUCAUCUCUACAGGGAUAUCUUUAUUUUGUAGCUAUUUAUCAUCUCUAUUCAAGUUGCAGUCAGAGAAGCUUAAAAACUCCAUCGAGUAUUAAAAUAUACAGUUGUAUUUUCAGGUAACAAACAUAGGAUUACUGAUGAAGAUUAAUCAGUCUCUAUCAGCUACGUCCUCCUUGGUUUGAUUAUUAUAUCUGAGGUUAGAUUUAAAAAAGUUUAUAGAUAUAAAGGUUACUCAGGUGCAUUUAUUUUCUUUAUACGUAUUUUAAUUUGAACACGUUAUCAAUUCGUCAUGUCCCUGCUAUCUCCCUUAAUUUCAUGUCAAAAAAGAAAAUUUCAAAAAAGUGUAUAAAGUACAGUGUAAUUAGACAAAAUCCCAAAAAUACACCAACAAAAUCUCAAAAACAAAAAGAAAGCAACAAAAUCUUGAUUAAGUGUCACAAUAUUCAUAGGAAAAUGUUUUAGUUAAGAUGGAAUAGAAACUUUUAUUUUAAAAUAUUUAUUAUAUAAAAAGAUAUGUGCUUAAAAAGUAUUUGAUAAAAUAUAUUUAGUGUUCCUUAGUCAUCCACUAGUUUUGCUGGAUACUUGUCCAGAUUUUCUCAAUGUUUUGUCACAAUUGAUGCUGUACGUAGGAGCUGUGUUCCUUCGUCUGUAAUCUUUUUCUUUAAUUUUCAUACGGAUAAAAAAAUACUUACAAUACUUUUUUUUUAUCACUUUUACAAUUUUCAAAAAUAAAAAAGAAUGCAGUAUUUUAUAAUUUUUCAUAAAAAUUAAACAUAAUAACAUUUUCUUAAAUUAUAUACUGUUUGGCUAUUUUUUUUCUCAACGUAAGUAUUAAACUACGAGAGGCUCAUGCUGUAUGACACACCAUCGUUGGGUCGCUCACAAAUCCUAAGUGGCUGUUUCUAUAAUUUUCGUAAUAGAGUGGCAAAAGGUCAAACCUUAUUAUGAAUACGUACAAAUAAUCUUUCAAGACCUUAAUAGAAAAAAAAGAAAGAAAGAAAGAUACAUAUAAAUGUGAUGUGAGGAAGCAUGACUAAGGUUGGUUUUGAUAAGUUCUUUUUCUAAUUACAAGUAAACUUUCAAAAAAAUUGUAAUGAUUGAAAAAGUUUAUUUUAACCCACUAAAAUUAACUUAAUGUGAUAAAGUAGAGAUAUAACAUUGAUCUAAUAAGUGAGAAAGGAUAAAAAAAGGAAAGAAUUUGCAUGUUCAAAUUUCUCUAAUAAAUAAUACUUUUUAAUAAAAUUAUUAAACUAACAAGCUACCAUUUACUGUUUUAAAAAAAUUGUGAUAAAGUGUUUAGGUAAUACAAAGUUUUAAGUUAAAAUUUUAUGGUUGUCAUUGCAUAAAAAAGAAUAACAUUAUUUUAAUGUUGUAUAUAUAUUUUUUUUCAAAAACAUAACCGCCUACUUUAAUUUUAAAACUACAUAUUCUUAUCAUCUUUUUAGAAAAAUUAUCCCAUAUAUAUUAUGAUAUUAUGGAAUUUUUUUAAUUUUGUUAUUAUACAUCUAAAUGAACAAUUUUUAUUUUUGAACCAAAAUAUCCAUUAAUUGAGAGCUAAGAACUAAUCCUUCAAACCAUUAAUCACAUAUUUAAAAGAUAAAAUUACAAUUAUGUUACAAUAAUUUAGUAUCUAAAAGAACAAUUAAUCCUGCACCCUUUUCUUUUGUUGGCAUUGAUGGCCAAUCUUUCUUGUUAUAUGUAUAGGUGUUAGCCCUCCCAUUUGCCGCUUAAAAAAAUAAUAGUUGCAAAUUUUUUGACAAUAUUUUAUUAAAAUUUGGCCUAGGUCUAACAUUUUUUAUUUUCUAGCAAGGGUAUAAUAGAAAUCUAAAUCGGAAUAUUCAAAUUUCAAACUUCUGUUUCAUUGACUUGAUGUUUUUAUCCAUCCAAAAUACUAGUUAAAAACAAAUGAUCAAUUUCCCUGUUUCUGUCCCUCUCUUGUUCUCACUUCUCACCACGUUCACACAUUGGAAGUAGUAGUAGUUAUAGUUAUUAUAAAUUGAAAAAACGUCCGAGAAAAAAAAAGAGAAGAGACUUAUGAUGUGUGUAUCAUUUGCGGUAAUGUCUUACUUUUACUUAAUACUCUUACCAUCCUCAUAGUCAUAGCCAUAGGUUUGAGUUAGUGAGUGGAGUAUCUCACGCUUCCAUCACAAGCAAAGCUGGUGGACGAGGUGGUGCUUUCUGAUUGAGACCCGGCACGUGCCUCAUCCCCAAUGCACACGUGCCCAUUUUAAACACAAAUCCAUAAUAACCGAUAAAACAAGAACAAUACAAGAAAGUAGUAUUAGAGAAAGAAAUAGUAUUGAAUAAUGCACACAAUUUUGUUCAUCAAUAAAUAAAAUAUAAAAUUGUGAUAGUGGGAUUUAGGACUUUUAGCGACUUUGAAGUUUAGAGGGGUUGAUUUCUAUAUAUAAAUAAGUUGGUGGUGGUGCUCUAUCCUAACUUGUGUGCAUAUUCAUUCCUCUUGGCUCCCUUAAACUCUCUUUCUCUCUUUGUGUGUCUCUUUCUCUAUUUCUGAGUCUCAGUGUUAGGGGGGUUAUUCAUUAUUCAUAAUAACUUGGCUUUAUAGCAUUUUCCCUUUUGAUAUAAAAUGGGAAGGCAACCUUGUUGUGACAAAGUUGGGUUGAAGAAGGGGCCAUGGACUGCAGAGGAGGAUAAGAAGCUCAUAAGCUUCAUCCUCACUAAUGGCCAAUGUUGCUGGAGAGCUGUCCCUAAGCUAGCAGGUCUCCUCAAUUUAAUCCUUAAUUUCUAGCCAUUCAAAUCAUUUAUGAAUAAUGAAAUGCCACAGUUUUUCAUGCUUCAUUUGCUAUUUGGUUAUGAAUAUCAUUAAAAUGGUUCAACAAUAUUUUGCAUUAUGGUCAAUUGGUUUUGUGGUCUUUCUUCAUGGUUCCUCUGUUCCGCAGCUCCUUUGAUUUCCAUUCUGUCAAUAACAAUGAAAUCAAGCACCACUCAAAAUUGUCAUACUCUUUUCACCUUUUAGUUAGAACUAAUCUUCAAAACAUGUUACAACAAAAGUUGAGCUUGCAUGUGUUUCUUAUGCCUUUUUAUUUGGAGAAAUCAUAUUUUUUUUCCCUUGGCUUCGUAGAUUGAGUGGAGAAAAUAAUCUUCAUGUUUGUUCGUUUUGUAAUUUUGAAUAAAAAUGCUAGGCAGAAACAAUUACUUCACUAAAAUUAAAUUUAACAAUUGGAGUGUGACUUCAUGCAGGGCUUUUAAGGUGUGGGAAGAGUUGCAGGCUCAGGUGGACAAAUUACUUGAGGCCAGACUUAAAGAGAGGUCUUUUAUCAGAAUACGAAGAAAAAAUGGUCAUUGAUCUUCAUGCUCAACUUGGCAAUAGGUUAUUUCCUAGCCCACUAUUUUCCCUUGUUUGCUUUUUCUGCAUGUAUAUUUUUCCUUGAAGAACAUUACUAAUAAUUAUAAUCAGUGAUUGUUACAGUGCUUAUUUGAAAUACUACUAGACUAGGCUUAUCUCAGGAAAUGAUGAAAAGCUCAAAAGAUAUCUUAAGUAUCACCAAACGCACCAACCUAAUUGAAUUUAUUAUUUUCAUAAUACAUACACCCCAAGUUGUAAUUCUUUAUUCAUCUUAGGGAAAAAGACGUGGUCCCAUGUCUCAAACCUGGUAGGGAAAGGAGGCGUACAUAAAUUGUAGACUAAGCUCUUUUAUUUUCAUAUUAUUUUUCCUUUUUUCGGGAUUAAAAAAAAAACUUCUCAUGAUUGCAGUUAAAAUUGACUAAAAUGGAAUGUCAUUGACGUAGAAAAGUAAAUAUGGGCCAAAUUUGUCUUGUGGGGAUUUUUUUUCUGUUUUCGUAACUUGCAUGGCAUAUGGAGCAUUUUAGUGGCUAUUAAUUCUUCCUUUCAAGUGAUCUCCGCAUAGACCUUAUGUUAAUGAAGGAAUCUUUGUUUCUUUCGCGUGUUUUCUUUUGUAAUCAAUACUGUAUAAUACUAUAUAUUAUUCUACUAAGGCAAAUGUUAACUAAUCCACCAGUUAAAAAAUUUAAAAUAAAAAUAUUUUUAUUAGAAAAUAUAAAAUUCUGCUAUUCAUAAUUUUUUUCAUGUUUUUUUAUGACUUUUAGAUUAAAAUUCGGUUAGUCAUACUCUUUUAUUAAUUAUUGAUAUUUUUUUCUUGUCAUUUUUUUUUUUACUCAGAUGGUCUAAGAUUGCUUCUCAUCUCCCUGGAAGAACUGAUAAUGAGAUAAAAAAUCAUUGGAACACACACAUAAAGAAAAAGCUCAAGAAAAUGGGCAUUGAUCCUGCCACACAUAAACCACUUCCUAAUGCAAAUGAACAAAACCAAAAUCAAACCAGACAAGAUCAACAACUACACCACCAACCAGUAGAAUUAGAAGAGCCUAACCAACAACCUUUGCAAGUUGACUUUGACCCCAAAGUUGACCCAAAUAAGGAGCCAGAGAAGCCAGAGACUUCAUUGGAAUCAUCAACCAUCACUGAAGAAGCCAAAGAGGAAGACCAAAUCAUAACACCCUUAUUUGACACAAUGGAGCUAAUGAAUGGUUUCUGCACAGAUGAAGUUCCAAUAAUUGAACCUCAUGAGAUUCUAAUGCCUUGUGCUCCUUCCUCUUCAUCCACCACCUCUUCAUCAUCUUCUUCAAAUUCAACCAAUUUUCUUGAAGACUUGCAGCUACCAGAUUUUGAAUGGUCUUGUAAUUACAAUGAUAAUAACACUAUUACUAACAAUAACAACAAUGAAGACAAAGACGACGACAACAACAACAAUAGCAGCAUGGCCUUGUGGGAUGAUGACAUUAUUGGCAACCGUUAUUGGCUGAUUAAUGAAGAUGAUGAUAGUGAUGAAAACCAAGUGUUUGAUGCUUCUCUCACUCAAUUCUCAAAAAUGUUCAUGGAAUCAGAAUCUUGGGGAUAUGGCUUAUUUUGAUUUGAAUUUUCUCCCCAUUAUUUGCGAUUUGCUUCUAAGUUUUUACGAAGAAUAAACGGUUAAUAAUUUAUUAGGAAGAACACAACUGUUGUUUAGCAUUACCAACUUUUCACUUUAUCAUUUACACAAAUUACAUGUAAUAUGUUAAUGGAAAUAAUAAGUUUCUUUCUUUGCAGUAAAAGUAAAAGUUUCUCUCUUUUUUUUCUCUGUUUUAUUUUUUUAAUUCAAUAGAUAUACAUUGUUAAUAUAAUAAAUAUUUUUUAUUUUGUUAAUUAAUAACAAAUUAUUUUUCUCUUAUGACUUAUUCUCAUUAUUAUUAUUACUCAUUGUAGUCUUUUUCUUACUAGCGCUUUCUGUUUAUUUCUUUUAUUAUGAAUCGGAUAUGAAAUUUUCUUGCCACUCAUGUUGGUUUGUUGUUCUAUUCGGUCGAAGUCAUUUUUUUACUUUUUCAUUUUUUGGUAUAAUUGUUGAGGUGGUUCUAAUGCUAGUUUCAGAGUCCUUAUCUUUCAAAUAAAUAAAAAGUCCUUAUCUUCAUACAACUAUAAAAUUCAUGUUUAUUUUAUUUUAAGGUUUUGUUAAGCAGACUCCUUUACUUAGAAAUAAUAAUAGAUUAUUUUUAUUAAAAAUCAUGUUAAGAUUUAAGAAUACAGUAAUGCAUAAAUAAUAUAUAUCAAUAUUUUUACCAAUAAAAUUGUUUAGUUUUUUGGUGGAAUAUGGAAUACAAAAAAACAACUAAAAUCCACACGAUAAACCAACAAAGGAAUAAUCAACUAACAAGAAAACAAAGAUAGAAUUUAGGACAACAACAAAAUCUCUUUCUGUAAUAUGUAUGGAUAGAAUGAACUUGGCGAAGGCAUUUGCCACCCAUUAUUGCAAUACUGCAUACUUUGAGUGAUGGAGUUAUGGCAAGACAUUCAAAGCUGACAUCCAUUAAUUGUGGAGGAGAUUUAGAGUCACAAUUUUGAAUUAUAUUUGACAUGAAUAUUUCUAAAAUCACAGCUAAGUCAGGUAAAUCCUCCAAAAAUCUAAGUGGGUUAAAUCACCGAAGGUAGAGGAAUAAACAAUGAUAAAUGUACUCUUACAAGUAACCAUUUAUUAAAAAAAUUCAAAAAAAAAAAAUCCAUAGUUAUAAAAGGAAUAGGACUAAUCAGUAAUAGACAAAAUCGUUCAAAGAAAAUCAUGAUAUGUAGACGUGAACCUAAUUACAAGACUUUCAAUUUAAAAUAUUUUAAUGAAGAAGUUCUUGUGUAGAUACAAUCUACAAAAGAUAUUUAUACUAAAACAAUAAAUGACAUACACACCAUUAUUGUUACUAAUGUAAAUUACAGUAACUUUUAACCACAUAUUUAUGCAACAAUUUAAUUAACGGAAAAUGAUGAUAAAUGCCAUAUAUUUAUGAAAAAUGUUAUAUGAAUACCCAAUGUCCUAUUUGAUCCCGGAUGGAGGAAAAAACAUAUAAGUAUGAUAAAAUUAUGAUGUAAUAAGAAGAAAUGGAUAAAAAUAGAGUGUUUUUUUUAUCAAAUAGAAAGAAAUAAUGAUUUGUGCAUAUCAUUACUCUAUAUUUAUUGACAUAUUCAGUACAACAAUAAUUUUUGCAAGUCUUUCAACUUUCAUCAAGCUCUUGCAUUCACAAGCGUGUUGACAUUUUCCCUUACCCAGUGGUUCCAAAUAUGGGGGUCAAUAUCACUACAACGAAAAGUGACAUUUAGUCAUGCAAUUAAUUACAAGAUGUGAGUCCAAGAAAAGAGAAUUACAAUAUGUGAGAAUAGUCUUCUGAAUUAUACCUAAUCGUGCGCAUCAUUCUCAAUCCAUACCACGUACGCGUCCUUUGCUCAUCGAAUCUACAUAGAAAAAAAUCAACUUACGUUAGGACAAGCACAAUGAGACUUCCUCAAAAUAACUAAUCAUUUAUGUCUUUUAUGCAUAGUCACAAUCGGAAACAAGAUAUAAUAUUAUAAUAAUCAGUUAGAUUCAUCUUUUAUUAUUUUCAAUUAUGAAAAAUUUGUAUAAAAAUGUAGACUAUCUAUUCUCUCUCUCUCUCUCUUUAUAUAUAUAUAUAUAUAUAUAUAUAUAUAUAUAUAUAUAUAUAUAUAUAUAAAAUUAUUUAUACAGUGUUAGUUUACAAACAAAUUAUUUAAUUUUUUUGUACCACACAAUUAUUUUGUUUAAAAUUAUAAACUAAUCUCACGAUUUAUGUAGCAUACAAGAAACAUGUUUCAUGAGAUUUCAUGUAGCUAUACCUCAACACUUGGAAUCAAAUUAGAUAAAUUUCACAAAAAAUACUUUUUUUAAAGGCAAAAUCAGAUUGUUGUUAAUAAAAACUGAUCAAUAACACAAGAAGCGUCUAAAACCAGGGAUAAAUUUCAGCCAAGGAAUACAAUUCCUAUCGGAUUAUUAUAUAUACAAUUCAACACAGGCGGCACAAAAGUCCCUUGGUUACCUAUAAAUUUAGGGUAUAUGUUUGGAUAAAUUUUUCAUAAAUAUUUUUAGCAAAAGAAAAAAGAAAAUGAAAAAAUUUAUUCAUAAACUAAAAUUAGUCAAUACAUGGAUUAAUUUAAUUUGUAGAAAUUUUUUCAUAUAAUUUUCUAUAAAAAAAACUUAUGUAUACAAAUUAAUUUUAACUUGAAGUUCAUUUUUUUCUCUAGAAGUAUUUCUGGAUAUGUUUAUUUAAGUAGACCCUCAAAAGAAAAUAAAAUAGAUCAAAUGCAUAAGUUAUUCAAUUUUUCAACUUUUAUAUUAUCAUUCUCGUCUAACCUUUUCGUAAACAUCAUAAAAUUUAUAGGUCUAGAAAAUUUUAGUACCAACAAAUAGAUCAUACAUUAAGAAAUACUAAAUACCAGCAAUAAUGAAUGAGAAAAAUAAAUUUAUAAAUGUAAGAUGUUCUUCAAUGUAGGAGAAGUCACAAAAACGUUGAGAAAGAUAAUCAUAGAAGAAAAAAAAGGUUAAGUAGCCAUCAAAUUUAGGAACCGAAUUGAAAUUAUUAUUAUUAUUAUCAGUGACUCAUUUAACCAUUAGUCACAUAGAUAAAUCUGUGACCGAACUGAUUUUUUUUUUUUUUUACUUAAAUAACUUUUUAGUCUAUAUAAAACAGGAGGCUACUGAUAUUAUUACUAUUUCUAAAAAAAUGGGGGCGAUGCGUUAAAAUGAUUAGGAACAAAAUCCAUGAAAAAGUGAUAAGUUAGGAUAAAAAAGUGUAAUCAAUCCUUUUAUAUUUUUAAACCAGCAAAUGAAUCGAGAAGAAAAACUAGAGAAAAAUUACUUUGGAAAAAUCUAUGCAGCUUUUUUAAAGAAAUAUUCAAUUUUUCGUGCAGAUUUAAAUAUGCAAGAAAAUUUACAAAAUGUAAAAAAUUUCUAGAAAUUUUUUUGUCAAUAAUCAAUAAUAAAACAUACAGUACACGUCUGUAGCAAAAUUAAUUUACAGGAAACUCGAGCUAAAAAUUUUGCAAAAAAAAAAAAACCAUGAAUCCCUAGUAGUGUAAUUUGUAUAAUUAGUAAUUUGAAAAAUACAUUACUUUAAUGUGAGAUAGAAGAAGAAAAUUCUGUAAAUGAUUAGGUAAGCUUAAUAAGGAUAUUGUCCGAGCAAGUUCAUUAGUUCUUACCGUGUAAAACUUGUCUUAUAGUUUGUGAUUGGUGUGUGAAGCAUUUCCAACGAGGUCAUAAUUAAACUAUUAAGCAGUUGUUAGAUGGUCAAUUCAUAGAUCCCUACGAUUGCACAUUAUUUCCAAUAUCUACAUUCAUUGUAAUCCCUUGGUAGAUCCUAAUUUCAUUCAUACAUUAAAAAGCCAAUAGGAAAUCGUCAUUUUAAGUUCAUAUAUAUAUAUAUAUAUAUAUAUAUAUAUAUAUGUGUGUGUGUGUGUGUGUGUUAAGAAACAGUCAGAUUAUGGACUAAAUAAAUAUUGUAUAUAUAAUUUUUCCGAUAAUAAUUAUUAAAAAAAAGUCUAGGCUUCAUAAUAAAACAAACACGGAGCCCAUUUUUUACGAGUAUGGAGGGAAAUUGUAUAGUAUAUAUGCUUUUAUCUUAACUCGUGACUUGUAAACUUAAUUUAUCUAAAAACAAAUUUGAUAAUAAUUAAAUUAUUAUUGCAAAAGAACAAUUGAAAAAUGUUUAUGUAACUGAUUUUUGAAUAAAAACAUUAAUUUAUUUUUUGGGAGUUUUCCUUUAAUAUUUUUUUUUUUUGAAAAAAUAUAACAUGCUUUGUUUGCAGAAAUUAUGAACUAACGACGAAGCCUCGAACAGCUAUGCUACGAAUAUUUAGCACCGGACCCAUCCUUCUUUAGUUCUGAUUAACUAUCACUCUUACUUUUUUGACAAAAUAACUUUCACUUGAUGGAAUACAUUUGAGCUUAUUAGUCUUGCAGAAUAUUCUUUCAGGCUGAUCAAUAUUAAAUCAAGGAAAAAAUUAUUUUUACUCUCUACUUUUGGCCAGAUGUGAUUAAGGUCGCUACUUGUUCCUCAAACUUUUGAAAACAUGCAAAUUUAGUAUUUUCUGAUUAAAGAAUUUAUCAUGUUAAAGUUAUAAGGAAUUAAAUUAUGUGUUUUGAAAAUUUUAUUGAAAAUCAAAUAAAUAAAUUAAUAUGAAGCGUAUAAAUACCUUGGCAAUGUUUGACUGAAAGUAUAACAACUAAAAAUACAUUUUCUUUAAAUUAAUAUAUUUUUGCAGUAUACAGAUUUUAUAUAAGUGGUUAAAUUGUUAACGAUUAUAUAUAUAUAUAUAUAUAUAUAUAUAUAUAUAUAUAUAUAUAUAUAUAUAUAUAUAUAUAAUUAACGGAGAGAAUUAAUUUACAAGAAUUAAGAUAGAAAAAGGUAAAAAAAAAAAAAAGAGUGAGAAACUAAAAAGGUAAAAUGAUUGAAUCCAAGGUUUAUAUAUGGCUGUUUUUUUUUUGCUAAAGGGAAUUUUUGUAUAGUGUAUACAAGCAAACAAGAAUUCUAGAAACAUCUUUUAUCAUGCAAUUGGCGAAAUAAUUAACUUCCCCGUUGAACAAUAUUAUCCUGCUUAAGGGGUUAGCAACCAACUCAAAGUGAAAAUAAAGUUAGCAAUUUCAUGUAAAAUACAUCAGUGCGUAGUAUAAAACAAAUCUAUUUAAAUUUGGAUUCCCUCGUUUACUUUACUUUAAUAAUUUACAUAUUGAAAAUCAUUAUUUAAAGUUCAGUGCAGAUUAUGAAAAUAAAGUAAUAAAAUUAAAUUAAAUUUAAAUAUUAAUAUCUUAAUUAUGUUAUUUAACUUUUUUUUCCGUAGAAAUUAAACAGGAUGAAAAAGAUUUAUAAUACUUAAACCUCUUUGAGCUAGACCCUUUUAUGUUAUUUUACUUUGUAAUCCCAUUUUCAAUAUGUAUAACAAAUGCGAUGCAUAAAGGCCACGAGCGAGAGUAAUAUAUAGAUGAAAAAGUACCAACAAAUAUGCACAGGUGUAUGUAGUAUAAAGUGAGGGGCAUAAAGUGUUGUAUAAAACAAUAUACAUGUGAAAAGGGCAGACCAUAGGUUUCAUGUCAUCCACAGAAACACGAGCAGAGAUUAGAACAAAUAGAAAAAUAAAGAGGCAUGGGAAUAAAAGCUGUUGAUGGUCCAUGGAUUGGGCAAAGAGGGAGGUAGAUAUGAUUUUUUAAGAAGAAAAAGCGAUUUAGAAGAAGUGAAGUUGGUAGUAAGUGUUUUAUUUUUGUUUUGUUUAAAUUCUCAACAGAGAGGAUAUAAGGAAAUGAAAGAUGCAUGAUUGAUAGUAUUUGGUGAUUUGGUAGGUCACUCCUUUUUUGAACUUAUUUUUAGUAUGAUAUAUUGGAUGGAAUGUGAGAUGAGAGAAAAUAUUAGAUAGUUCAGAAUUAUUAUAAUUUUCUUAAUUUAUAUAUGACACAUAAUUAAUUGAUAAUUAAGUAUAUAUUGUUAAUUGUUUUCAUAAAUAAAAAAUAGAAUUUAAUGACGAUAUAUUUUAUUAUUUGUAUGAUUUUAAGUUAAUUAAAUUAAAAUUUAAUAAAUUUAUUAUCCAUAAUAAAUUAUUAAUUAUGAUUAAAUAAUAAUAUAAAAUUAAUUUACACCAUUAAUAUAUAUAGUCUUUUAUCUCAAAAACUUAAAUAUGUAUUAUAUAGAGAUUAAUCGGGAUAAUGAAUAUUAUGAUUUUAUAUUAGUAUUAUUUUUUUUUAUAAGAAAUAAGUUUCAGUUUUGAUUUUUUUUAUAAAAAACAAAUUUAUGGUAUUUUAUAAGAAAACUUAUUUCUUAACAAAAAAAAAAAAAACAGAAAUCAGUGUGAUGGGAUACACUGGCACAAAAAGUGCAUAACUGAAAUGAGAAAUAAGUAAGAUAUGGGGCGGUGCAGUUUGGUCUCCCAAAACGAAUAGGACGGUAGACCCAAUCACGCAUGGAUUCCAUUGGUGGAUGUAGUGGAAUUUUGGGCCCCAUAUGUGACUCACCAAAAUCCUAAUGCUUCCAAAAGGUUUGAUAAAUAAGGGCCUUAGAACAAAGGUAUACAAUACUCUCUCUCUCUCUCCCAACAUGCUUUUCAUCAUGUUUCAAAUGAAUCAAUCUUCAAAUGAGUGCUUCUUCACAAGUCAAAUUUUUUGUGCUUUAAGGUGUUAAAUUAAGAUUUAUAUUCAUUCAUUUCGUCCAAAUGUUUAUGUCAUUAACCGUUGAUUCAAUUAUUCCUUUCGCCUUUGGGAUAUCCUUACAGCUAAUCAGCUACAAUUAUGGGAUAAUAUGCCAAACCAAAGUGAGAAUUAAGUAAAACUUUCCUUAGGGUGGCAAUUUCAAUAUCUAACCUCUUCAUAUUCCAAGUAAAAGUUUCAUGGUAUUAUAAAUAUUAAUUGUAUUUCUACCACGAUGGACCGAUGUUUACUAUAUAUUGUUGAGAUAAAUCUUUAAUGAGAUCAACUCAACACCAUGCAUGACAUCAUGAGGUCAAUAGUUUCAUAAUAGUUCUCUCUUCUUCUUUUUAUCAGCAAACAAAAGGAACUAUUAUUUCACCACAAUAGUCUCUUAUUCUUAAAAACCACCGUAAUAAGAAGGACAAACAGUUACACGCGUGAUCCAGUACUGUUAAAGCAUCUCACACUAUAAAUGACUUCACCCUUGUAAUAACAUUCCCUUGUUUGCAUCUAUCAUACAUAUUAUUAUGUUGUCAUUCACUAAUUUGAGAGUUGAAGUGCUUUUUAUAAUACUCACCCCAUCUCUCAAAGGAGUCUUGAAACUUGAGGAAAAAGAGGAUUAUCAACCCUAUUGGAGUCUAUAAACUAACCACACAGAAUUUAGUUAAUAUUUGUAUAUAAGUUCAUCUCAUAAGUAUCAAUGUUAAUUUAAGUAGUGAAAUUAAAUUAUGGGUAAAAAGUUUUGAAUUCAACUUUCGUUAAUAUUUUUAUUAAUUAGAUUGCCAUCUGUUAGUUACUCGUUAUAAGCUCUAAUUAUGGUUCGAGACAAUGUCCUAAUUUUAGCAUUGAAUAACAUCUCGCCCUUAUACUUUAAUAUUUACUAGCUAAUCGAGGGAUUAAGUUUAAAAGAAUAAUUAGUAUAUAAGAUGAUUUUAAUUUGAUUAAAAAAAGAUGAUUUUCAUUAAAACAUGCCAGACGUGUCAUGUUCUAAAUUAUUUUAAUCGAACAUUUUCGUCAUUUAUUAUAUUUUAUUGACAAACAAGUAUUUUUUUUAUAAAAUUAAAAGCUCAAAUUAGUAUUUAUAAAAAUUUAUUCCUUAAAUUAGUUUUUAUAGAGAUUAUUAAACAGUCAAAUAAUGCUUUACUCAAAGGAAAAUGAAAUUCGCUAAAAAGAACUAGAAUAUAUGUAUCUGGUGCAUUUCUUUUCUUCACUUUCAUGCAUGACCCUUUUUUUGUUUUCUUUCAAUCUCUAUCUCUGUUUAGAUUUGGUUAGUGGAUGUUAAUUAAUUUACACAUGGCAUAUGAAUUCCCUAAUGCUUUGGUCAUUCAUACAUAUGCUAGCUAGCUUGAAAACCUAUUUGCUAGAAUGACUUCUACAACCUAAUAAUAGUGACUUCAGCAACGCACUAGCUUGACGCAAUAAUACUAGCCCUAUAUAAUUAAUUUAGAAUAAUAGAUUGACAUCCUGGUACCUUCCUUUUUCUAACUAAUUGUGGAACAUUAUGAUUAUGCUGUUUUCUCAAAAUUGGCAUGUUCUGAAAUGGUGAGAUGACUGUGUUUCGAAUAAAAUUAUUCUUUGAAAAAUGACUUGUAAAAAAACGAAAGAAAGAAUUAGUGUCACAUUACACUGAAAUCCCUCGGUCCACACCCCUUACCAAAUGGUGGAAUAAUUUCUGGUUCAGUCUUCGGAUAUGACUGCUUGCCAACGCAACAGAAACUUAAAAGAGAUACCAACAAUUUAGAGAAGGCACUGCUUUUAUGAAACCGACCAGCUGAAGAAAUAAAAAGAGAGAAUAUCAUUAUUUUUCAUCACCAACUUUCAAUUAUAUAUAUAUAUAUACAUAUAUAUAUAUAUAUAUAUAUAUAUAUAUAUAUAUAUAUAUGAUACAUCCUAUAACUUUAAGUAAUGAUGGGUAUUCAGAAGCCUAUUAGGUAUUCUAUUUUUUUAUGGAUGUGUCACGACGUAUCCUUUCUUAAUUUUCAUACAAACCUUAUUUUUUCAUAUGUACUAUUGCAAUGCAGCAACAUUACAAUAUGAGAACCACAUAUUAUGUUUUGGAGAAAAAGGUGUGAUGUAGACACAAACACUUUGUCCCAGACAUUUAUACUUGGCUUUGCAUUUUGGUCUUUCAUAUGAUCGAUUAUAGGUGCUAUUUAAGCUUGCUUUCAAUGAAUUUUCAAAUAUUCUAGCAUUCUGAAUGAGUUGGCAGAAGCAGUGUCUUUCCGGACCUCUUGGUUGUUUUCUAGUCAAAUAGGGUACCGAAGCAUUGAUUUAAGUAAUUUUAACUACUCUAUUUUACUAGUUUAUGUUAUGUUCCAUUUCAAAUGAAAUUCUACGGGGCGUGGUGGAAUAGUAAUUUAUUGAAUAUAACAUUAGGUAGAGUGCUAUUAAAAAUAACCAAACCCCCAAACACUCUCGAGUUUNNNNNNNNNNNNNNNNNNNNNNNNNNNNNNNNNNNNNNNNNNNNNNNNNNNNNNNNNNNNNNNNNNNNNNNNNNNNNNNNNNNNNNNNNNNNNNNNNNNNNNNNNNNNNNNNNNNNNNNNNNNNNNNNNNNNNNNNNNNNNNNNNNNNNNNNNNNNNNNNNNNNNNNNNNNNNNNNNNNNNNNNNNNNNNNNNNNNNNNNNNNNNNNNNNNNNNNNNNNNNNNNNNNNNNNNNNNNNNNNNNNNNNNNNNNNNNNNNNNNNNNNNNNNNNNNNNNNNNNNNNNNNNNNNNNNNNNNNNNNNNNNNNNNNNNNNNNNNNNNNNNNNNNNNNNNNNNNNNNNNNNNNNNNNNNNNNNNNNNNNNNNNNNNNNNNNNNNNNNNNNNNNNNNNNNNNNNNNNNNNNNNNNNNNNNNNNNNNNNNNNNNNNNNNNNNNNNNNNNNNNNNNNNNNNNNNNNNNNNNNNNNNNNNNNNNNNNNNNNNNNNNNNNNNNNNNNNNNNNNNNNNNNNNNNNNNNNNNNNNNNNNNNNNNNNNNNNNNNNNNNNNNNNNNNNNNNNNNNNNNNNNNNNNNNNNNNNNNNNNNNNNNNNNNNNNNNNNNNNNNNNNNNNNNNNNNNNNNNNNNNNNNNNNNNNNNNNNNNNNNNNNNNNNNNNNNNNNNNNNNNNNNNNNNNNNNNNNNNNNNNNNNNNNNNNNNNNNNNNNNNNNNNNNNNNNNNNNNNNNNNNNNNNNNNNNNNNNNNNNNNNNNNNNNNNNNNNNNNNNNNNNNNNNNNNNNNNNNNNNNNNNNNNNNNNNNNNNNNNNNNNNNNNNNNNNNNNNUAUCGAUUAUGACAUAUAAAUAGAUACAUAUUACAUAUAUAUAUAUAUAUAUAUAUAUAUAUAUAUAUAUAUAUAUAUAUAUAUAUAGAUUAAAUUAUAUUGAUGUAACUUUGAUAAUUAUUACAUUAUUUUAUAAGUUUCAAUUGAAUAAUAUUUUCUUAAAACUCAUCGUUGGAUUGAAAGUUUCUUUCACAUAGAUCAUAUGUAUAAAUUUUCAUAUUAAUUCAAAAUCAUUUGUUACCUUAUUCAUAUAGAUUAAAAUCAACAUAAUAUAAACAUUUCAAAAUAUAUUAAAAUAUGAAUUAUUUAAUUACAUUUUUGUUGUUGUUUAAUUAUGACAAAAUUUGACAUAAACGAUAUUGAUAAUAUAUAGAUAUAUUCAACAGUUGAAUCAAUAAAAAUCAUAUUUUAUAUCAAGUUAUAAAAAUUAUGUAAUAUGUUAUAGUUAUAGCGGUGUAAUUUAAUCUCUCUUCUCUCUAUUUAUAAGAAUUUUAUAUUUUAAUUAUAUUUCUUUUUUGUUACUAAAUACAAUGUUUUUAUUUUUUCAAAACAGUGAAUAAAAGAAAAUAUAAUUUCUCUUUACAAGCAAUUUUAUUUUAGAAGGUAAUGAAUAUUUUUCCUUUUGCUUUAUUAUUAUUUUCUUUGCUCCCAAAUAAGACAUGUUCUUUUAAGAAAUAUAUAAAGUGCUUUAAGAACCACCGAUUGUCCUAUAUUAUAAUAGUCAUUGGAUAUGAUUAUGUAAAAUUUAAAAAGUAUUAAAAUAAUUUGCAUAUUCAUCAUAGUCAAUAAAAACCAAUCGAUGGUCUAAAAUUUAGGUGGAUUAUCCUUUAAAAAUCCAUCUUUUCAAUAGCUUGGUAAAAUGAAGCAACUGAAAGUACCUACUUAAGUGGACCCAAUAAUAAUGAUAAAAGAAAGUACCAAACUAAUGAAAUAAUGUAACGAACCUAGUACAAAGUUCCAGUGUCUUUGUUCAUUUUUGUUCCCAUAGGAAAGUGGGGUCUUCUGUUGGUUAUAACUCAAAGGGUAGGGACCUGAAAGCCCAAAUGAAAAAAAAACCCGUGUAAUAUUAUUAUAAAUUUUUCUACACUAUCAACCAUAGAUGUAAAACUUGGUUCAUUCUGGUUCAAUUGGAGUCUAGUGGUAUAACUAGAUUGAUUUUAUUAUUAGAUUGUUUAUGUAUGUGAUUCGGGAUGAUCCGAUCAAACUUAGUCAAUUUUAUGAAAAUUCAACGACCUGACCGAUCUUUAAAACACGAGUUCGAUUGUGUACAUUAAAAAAAAUUGUCACGUUUGAGAACAACGUCGUUUUGAAUCAACCCUAAAAUCUUAGUCACUUCUCUUCUUCACGCUCAUCUGCUUAAGACUCUCGACCCUUCUCUUCAUCUAAAUGCUUGUCUCGACCACCACCGCACUACAAGCCGUCGCCGUCGCCGUCGCCGCACUACAAGGGAACUCGUCGUGCCAACCUCGUCGCCAGUAAUGCGAAUGAAGAGGUCAACGACCUAGGAGGGGUCAAACUUUGACGACAUUGUGAAGCGGUGAUGAUCGAAGAGGAAGAGGAGUGGUUUUGAAGCGAGAAACAGAGAAAAUGAGGCGCAACAUGAAGAGAGGGUUAUAUAUAUAUAUAUGGAGGAUUAGGAUUUUUGGUUAUUUGAAAGCUUCUAUUGGGCCUAAUCCGCCCGGAUUCACUUAUUAAGAUGUUGCUUCUUGUACUCCUUUUAUUGCUACCCGCACUUUUCAUUUUGCAUUUCAUAAUGGUCUUUUCCAUUAUAUAUUGGGAAGUGCAGAAAACAAUAAUGGGGGUGCAGAAAGUUUAUCCACACUUUUUUGUUUAUUGGAAAACUGGACUUCUUGGCUCAUUGUGUUUAUUGGAAAUUGGACUUUGUUUUAAUUUAGGUAGUUGCUAUUUACACUCUUUUAUUACUAAUACACUUCACUUGUGUUAUCAACUUUAAUACUUUAAUUAUUAUUUUAAAUUUUGGAAUAUAGAAUUAUGAAUGAAUUUUUCUUAAUCAAAUAAUAUUAGUUAUAUAGUUAUAUAUAAUAGAUACAUAUAUAACUUUAAAUUUUUUAAUAUAAAUCGGGUCAAAUCGAACUAAGUACUAAUCCACCGGUUGAACCACUGACCAACUAUUUUAAUCGGAUCAAUGACUAAAAUGGGUUUCACUAUGCUAUUAACUAGUUAAAAUGAUCUUAAAUGAAAACUUUAAAGUAACUAUUACAAAACUUAAUAAUCUUAUCAUAUUUGUGACAAUCUAUUCUAUUUACUACUAGAUAAGGGAGUAAUAAAUAUUAUUAGUGUGUUUCAAUUAAAUUAAAAAUCAAACAUCCUGUAACUGAGCAUGAUUUUUUUAAUAAUAUUAAUCUGUGAAUAAGUGAAAAAAUUUAUUUCCUUUUAAGUGAGUUUUUUUUUUGUAAUAUUUGUCUAAAAUUAUUAAUUUUCUUAUGAUAAUUUACUGUAAAUAUAUUAUUUUUAAGAAAUUUACAUAAAAUUAAAUAUACUUCAUAACUUUGUCAAAUGGGCAUUUAGGUAAGAAUAUAAGAAUUACCUCUAACUUAAAACGCCAUUCAAAAUGAAUUUUGUUUCCCAUUCAUUAAAAAAACUCUGGUAAAUAGCUCUUCCAAACCAUUCAAAAUAAAUUUUUCAAGAUGGAUUGCUUUUGACUGUACAGCAAAGUGGAGCCUCAUCAAUGCCAUCCGUAAUCUUCUUCGAAGGGAUUGGACUUGGAGGACUAGAAUCAUCCCAUUGAAACAUCAAUUUUAAGACUCAAACUAUUAAAAUUAUAGAUAAAAUUCUUACGAUCCUUGUUAGAUAUUCUAGAAAUAUUUUUCCAGAAUAUUUAAUAAAAAUAAUUCUCGAAAUGAUGCCUCAAUUGGUAAAAAGUGAUCAAAUAGGAGAAAAAUGAAACUAAAUAUUAUGUUGUUUUGGGCCAUCUCAACUCAAAGCACUACAUCAAGUCAAAUUGUAAAAGUGUUGACCAGGGUCAACUUCCCAUGUAGGUGCAAGAUUUUUAAAAUACAUUUAUGAACAAUGAAUUCUACAUCGGUCCAAAGUAAAAUUACUUGAUCUCUACAUGCCAAAGAGCAAAACCAACAUCAAGACACCUCUAUUUACUUGAAGUACACUUCAUAAAUUCAAUCCAAAUUUCAAACAAAGUCAAGCAUCCUACCUUGAAUACAUCAUUUAUCAAAUGCUCUAAAAUUGAUGUCUCAGUUUUCAUAAAUCACUGCAUCAUCCAUCAAUUCUAGUUAAAAUUAAGAAAACUUAAUAGGCCAAUUAAACCGAUUAAAUCAAGAACCAAUCCAUGUCAGUUUAACUUAACAGUUUAAAAGGAACCUAACAAAGUUAAGUCAAACACUAUAAUCCCAAAUGCAAUUUUGGUAUUCAAACAAUGAAAAUUGAAUCUAAUGCAAAUAAUAAACCAAACUUGACUUCUGAGAAAAACGAGAUCAACAUAAAGAAAUGAAAACAAAAGUUAAUCACUUUUUUAAUGCUAUAACAUGGUUAUGUAUCUACUUUGAAGGCAGAAUUUGUCGUUUGCCUGAAUAUUAAAAUCUGAACUCCUUUACAGUGGUAAAGCAUGGUUUGAAGCAUAACUAUUUGAAGCUCCACCAUGCAUUCCUGAAAAGGAUGUAUUGUAGCUCGGAACAAAUGUUGAAAGUUUUCAUGUUGAACUACUUUAUAAUUGCAUGGUCAUGGUCUCAAAGAAUGUUACCAAUAAAUAUACAAGGUAUACAUAUGGAAACAUUUUCUGCACAAGCUAACCUCUAAUCAGACAUGGGACUACUACAGCUUAUGUUACUGUCAGGGCUUUGAGAACACAUGUAUUCUGCAACUUUUCUGGGGACGGUAGGCAUCACUAUGGUUCCACCAUUAUAACCAUCCUCCAGCAACUUCCCUAUUUUAGAUCGCCACUCUGAAGAAUUGUCCUCAUUUUUUGCUGUCAUGCACAACUCUGUCACAGUAGUUAAGCAUAGUUGCCAGGCCAGUAUUUGGUGUCCAACCAUAUUCCAUUAGCACCUUGGCUUCACCUUACCUCAAAUCUUCUCCAACCUUGGCAUCAAGCAUAGUUCCGCCACUAGAGGGUGCGUGUGAUGUGAUUAUGGGAACAAAACAACUCUUUCACGUUUCUCUUUUUUUAAUUAUUGGCAUUUUUUUAUUAAUACAACUUUGCUGCUUUCUUUUUUUUUGGGGGGAGGGGAUGUUCUGGUAUUUCUAUUUGGCUUCUUUUUGUAUGCCAUCUAUUAUGAGAAACACUUAAUUUUGUGAAGCAUUGAAGUUUUUCCUCUUUUAAUUGCUGAACUUUGAAAAUUAUACUCUUAAGUUGCUGGAUUCUCCCACAUUUCAAGAUAAGUAAAGAGGACUCUAGGAGAGUUGCGUGAGGGUUCUGUUACUAAUGGAGCAUAUAGGAUGAUAGUGAUCUUGAUGAAUGUUUCUGGUUGUGCAUGGUUGAGCAGUAAUAAACUUUACUCUAUAUGCAAAUAUGAACUGUAUAAGUGGUUUAAGAUGUUAGCAAGAAAGAAUUGAAAAGGGUAUACUCUUAUUGCUGAAGUAUAUCUGGCAAUCCAUGAAUUCAAAUUUUUCUAUUAAAAAUUUAGAACUUUUCAACAAAUUUAGGAUAUAUCUGAUAAGUGUGUUUUGUGUGUGUUGGAGCGAGGUUAUGCAACUGCUAAUGCCACUUGAGAAAUGUAUAAACUCACUUGAGAAAUGAAAGGAACAUAUUUUAACCAUAUAAUUAUUAAACUAAGUAAAUAAAAACAAUUUUAAUUAUCUGGCGUGGAAGUUCAUUGUUUAUUGCUUAUUGUAUAGUAUAGUGGUAAUUGCUUGUUUGAUUGUAUCUGUUGAUAACUGCAGUUGGAAAGAGGUUCCAAAUAGUGAUGAUUAUGUAUUAUUUUAAAAAGCUGCGAUCGAGUUUGGUAAUAAUCCAUUAUAUAUGGAUAUCAAUCAGUAGCAAAAUAAAAUUUUGGAGGAAUGAAUAAUAGAUGUACUUCUAAUGAUUGAAAUUAGGAGUGUAGUUAGUUUUAUUUUGAAGGAAUGAAUAAUACAUUUAAUGUUUGGGUUACAUACAUUUAAGACUUUUUGAAUCUUGUCUGGAAUAUUUAAAAUUUGUUUUCAAUAUUUAAAACUUAUGUUAAUUGUUUGUUAUUGAUAAUUAUAUUUUUGAUGUUGUGACCGGUAUCAUAAUUAUUACUUUGAUUUAUAUUAUGAUUAUUGUUUAUAUAUAAAUUUUUAAUAGGCAGAGGAUAAAUUUUUAACCCCGUCAUUUUUUAAGGGUGGGAGUAGGAGUUGUUAUGAGAUUCAAGGCAGAGUAAGCAAAAAUCGCCCCUAACCAUCUCAUUGUCAACCCUACUUGCUCCCUUCCCCCCACUAAUGUCUCUUUUAGAUCAAAUUGAUCAUUUUAUUAAUUUUUAACACCAACAAUAUCAAUAUUAAUUACGCAAAUUAAUAAAAGUAACAAUUUGAUUCAACAAAGAUAAAUAUUUAUUAGUAAUUUUUUAAUUAAUACUUUAUUAUAUAUAACUAUGAUUUUCAUAUGAUGCACAAAUUUAUCAUUAUAACUAUGUAAAAGAAUCUUUAUAAUUUAUAUAUUAUUAUAUUGUUAUAAAACUUUCAUCUUUGUUUAAUUAAUAUUUAGCCUUGUUAGCAAUUCUACUCAGUUAAAUAAUUAUAUCUUUAAUAUAAAUAUUUUUAUCCUAAUUGAUAUCCCCUAAAUACUCAAUUAAUAAUUGACUUUAAUUUUUUCAAAUAAGACCCCUAAUUUCAGGAUUGUAAAUUUUUUUCUUCAUUUGCGUGACUCAAAAUUGCACAAAUGACAACAACCAUCAUAUCAUAGAAUUAUUUUUGUUAUUGCAAUGUAAGGGAAUUGAGUUUGGUCCUUAAAAAUUAAUAUACGUAAAUUUGGGUAUCAUAAUUAUUUUGAUUGAAAUUAAUUAAUAUUCUAGUUGAAUAUUUAAAUAAUCUGAGGAAUUUUUUUCUUUAAGUUUAUAGUAUCAAAUUAUAUCAUUUAAUUAAUUAAUUAAUUAAUUAAUUGAUAUUAAAUUUGAAUUCAAAAUAUAUUUUACAUAACAUAUAUUGUCCCAUGCAAUACAUGUUUUUACAUAUUUUUAAAUACUUGUAGAUUUUUUUUUAUUACUUGGAGAUUUUUUCAUAUUUUAUAUAUUAUAAAUUAUAAAUAUUUAAUAUAACUUUUUUACCAUAAUUACCGCAAGUAUUAAAAAAAAUUAUUACUAUAAUAUUAAAUACAAUUAUUUAAUUUUUAUUUUCAGAAUAAUCAAAUAACAAAAACUUUAAGCAAUUAAUCACUAUUAUUUUCUAAUUUAUUUUAAUUAAACUAAUUAAUUAUUUAUAAUUACCUUAAUUGUGUAAAAGUGAAAACAUCAUAUUAGUUGCGGACAAACAGAUUUCAUUUUUAAUUAAAAUAUCUUAUGUUUUGUUAAUUAAGUUGUUGCUAAAUAAGAUUUUGUAUUGAUAAUCUAAUCAAAGACUUUUUGUUCUUAAAUUAUUUAUUUAUUUUUGAAUAUUUUUCUUUUUACUCAUAUUUUAGAUAGGAAAAUGUUAUCUUUAAGAGAAUUUUAAUGUUUUUAGUUUUUCUCCAACUUUUAGCCCAAUUAAAAGCAAUCUACACAACUGAUUAGAAAAUAUUAAAAUGAGAAACUGAUAAAAAAAAAAAGUGUUUGUAAUGUGUGUGUUUCUAAUAUUUAAAGAAGACAUUAUAGACUUAAUUCAAAGUUAUUCUCCCAAUAGUUAUUAUGAAUUGAGAUCAUAUAAUAUAUAGUAUCCAAAUCAUAGACCAUCAAUCAAACCAAAAACUAUGAAACUCAUUACACAUUAAAGCAUGGGUUCUCGUAUAGUCUUUACAUUUUAUUUUUUAUUUUUUGUUAUCUUUUUGAGGGUGUUGGAGUGUUCCUCCCUUUUCGUAAUUGCUUCUAGUCUUUUCUAAAAACACCACAAACAUUACAAACUAUACAACCUAAUUUGGUGUAGAUAAUGAUAUCAUGUUUCACACAAAUAAUAUGUACACAUUUCCACUACAAUUUAUAGAUUUUUGAUAGACUUGUGUUUGCGUGGAUGAUAAAUUAUUUUAACGCAUUUAUUCUUACUCAUCAAAUACCUAUAUUAUAUUUAUAACUGGUGAUAUUACUAGGUCUUUAGUUAUGUUAAACACGGUCUUUUAUAUAUAUUUUUGGUAUUCUAAUACUGGGAUUUUACAUUAAUAUCUGAUGCUAUUACUAGGAUUUUAAUUUUGUAUCAGUAUUAUAUUUAGUUGACAAAAUAGUAAACAUGAAUGGUAUUCUAAUACUAACACUACAAUGUAAAUAAAAUUAAAAUAAAAAAUAUUAAUUAAAAUAUAAGAGUUGAUUGAAAUAUAUCAUAUGAAUAUGGUUAGAAUAAGGUAUUAAUUAAAGUAACCAUACCCAUGUCUAUAUCCACAAAAAAUUAUGACCAGUUAUUAAUUUAUACUUAGACCAAAAAAUAGAUUUUAGUUUACAUCCUUUUUUAAAAAAAUUAUGCUGUUAAUUAAAUAAAGUUAUUUUGGAUAUAAUUUUUAAUAUAAUUAUUGUAAAAAUUAAUAAUUUUAUAGUAUAUAAUAACUCGUGAUUAGAUCACGAUGUAAAAUAUUAUUUAUUAUUUAUUACGAGUAAUUUUCAUAAGUAACUAGCCAACAAAUUUAGGCACAUAGAAUAAAUGGUUAGAUUGGAAAAAGUGUUACUCCCAGGUGCCAACUGGGUGUACUCGUUGUUUUUGACCCAAAAUUCAAUUAUUUCUAAUGUUCUUUGUUUCAGUUGGGUCCCCACAAGCCUAUUAAACCGGGCUAAGUUAUAUUGGGUUUGACCCAAUAAAGCGUGUGAAUGGUUCUGUAUUAAUAAUUGUUGACCCAGCCAUUCAAUUUUUCAACUAUUUACCAUUAUUAGUUUCGCUUACAAGUUAGAGUAAGUUUUUUUUUUUUUUAAAUCUCAAUGAGGUAAACUCAAAUUUUUUUUAAUUCCAUAUGCACCUUACAUCACUAAGACAAUUCUUUAGAUUGGUAAACUCUUAAAUGUGAAGCACAAAACUAUUUUUCCCAAAAUAUUAAGUGCUUGUUUGAAUUAAUUAUAACUAUGCAUUUUAACUUAUACAAUUGCAAUGUAUAAAUAAUUCAUGAUAAAAAAAUAUAAUGUAUAAAUAUUUUAAUGUUUAAAAAAAUUCAAGUAUAAAAUAUGUUAAACUUUAAAAUUUAAAGGAAAUUAUUUAAAAGAUAAGGAUAAUUUUCAAUUAUUAAUUAAUUUUUAUUAUAAUUUAAACUAAAAUAAAAAGAGUCACGUGAAUAGUAUUAUAUAAGAGUAAAUUUAAAAUUUUGUGAUGCUAAGAAAAUAUUUCUUUAAUAAAUAAAAAUGACAAAUUAAUACUACUAUUUGACAAAUUAGUUUUUCUUAUGGGAAUUUGACAAAUUAGUUAAUCACUCACAAACUCAAAUAACAUCAACAAUAAUCUAUUUUUGUUGAGAAAACGUUUAUGUUAAACAAUUUCAGUUUAAAAUAAUAUUUAUAAUAUAUGUAUAAAUAUUUUGGUACACACAUUUUUUAUCGUAUGUUAUCCUUAUAACUGCUCUCAUAAAUAUUUUUUUCUUCCUUUAAUUACACUAUUCAAACAACAUAUACUAAUAGUUACAUUAAUUAUGAAAACUACCACUAUUUAUUAAUUAACUUUCAUUAUUGUUACUCUAAAAAAAAAGACUUUCAUUAUUGUUCCCUUUUCUUUUCUUUUUUUUAAAUUAUAGAGGAGAACUGAAUGCAUUUUCUCUGCUAGUAUAAAAAAAGUAAAGAAACAUUUAAGGAACACCCAGCAUAAUAAAAAUUGGGAUGGAUAAAAAGAGUUACUGAUCAAAAUUUAAAACAUUGUAGCGUAUCCAAUAAAUAAUGGCGUGUUAUGGCGUAUCUAAUAAUAACAGCAUGGACAAUAGCAUUUACAAGGUGGCCCAAUUGUUGGUUGGUACGAAUCCCGUAAGAAGUGUUGGAUUGGACCGUUGAUAGAUGAUAAACAUUAUUAAUUUUAUUUAUGAUUAAUUUUAAUGAGAUUUUUUAUUUAUAGGAAUUAAAAUUAAAAUUUUACUUAAAAAAAUUAAAUUCAGUACUACUCUAUAUUAACUUGUAGGUCCAUUGCUAGUAUUGUUACUGUUACAUGCUAGUGCCUAGUGAGAGAGAAAGUCCUUUUGGUGUCUUCAGAGAUCAGAGAUGCAUGCAACCAUUCCUUGUUUGUUUCCUUCUUUUUAAAAACCACAAAACAUGUGUAUACAGAUUCCAGGUUUAAGGAGUGCAAACAAACAGAGCGUCAGACACAGACACAGCUAUUACUACAACACAACAAAAAACACUUAUACUGAGAAAAUAAAUCACCGUACGUUAACGGCUAGGAGAACAGGUGCAUGUCUUCCUCCUCCACAUGCACAUUAAACACACUAAUCAUUAUAAAGUAGUAUUUGUAUACCAACUUACACUCAUAAUUCAUUCUUAAUUUGCUAUUCCAACUCCUUUUUUUUUAUCAUAACUUGAGAUGAGAGUACACUAAAAAAAAGAAAAGAGGUGAGAAUAUUUAAUUAUAAUUAAUAAAAAGGCAUACCCAACGACUAACGUGCAUAUGUAUGUUUACAUAUUUUUAUUUUUAAUAAGAUGUUGAAUUUGAUAUAUUUGUCAGUUUUUUUUUUUUUUUUUUUACAUAUAUACUAAUGUGUAUGCUAUAAUUUUGGUUUGUUAAUUUAAUUUUUAACUUAUUAAAACCGAAUAUGAGAAAGAUAAAAUGAGAGAAGUGGGUGAUAUCUUUAAAGAAAUAAUUAAAGGAUAAAAUUAUUUAAUAUAAUGUGUACGCAUAAAAAAGUUGUCUUUAUUAUUGAUAUAGAUCAUUAGAUUAAAAUUAGAAUUUUAAAUUAAUUAUUUAACUAUAAAUAUUUAUUAAUAAAUAUGUGAUUUAAAAUCUUAAUUUUAAUUAAAUGACUAAAAAAUUAAUUUUUCUAACAACAAUUAAGAAUAUAUGCUCUCUUUUUCUCCUUUUUUUAGUACACAUUUUUCCUUUUUUUUGUGUGUGUACACCUUUUCCUCUCUCUAUUUAUCCUAGUUUGAGUUAAAUACAUCAAACAUUCGGUGCGAUUAACUCUUUCGUUUAAACGUUUUUAUAUGUAAGGUUUAAAUUUGAAGCCUUAUUAAAUAUUAUUAUUAAUGAACUCAUUAAUAGUAUAGUUUAAACUAUUCAAACUAUACGAGUUUUUGGCAUUGCUUGAUCUAACUGUUAAAGCAAGCUCGAUUCUUUUAAAAAAUAUUCGAGUCUUACAUAACCCGAAGUUUAUUUAAGUACCUCACGUAAUCUUUACAACUACAUUUUCACAUUAUAAAAUGAAGAUACGAAUAACUAAACAAAUAAAACAUUAAAAGGAGAAAAAGGUGCUUCUUAAUCUCAACUCAAGUCUUGUUAAUGUUUCCUGGGUUUUGGGCUAAUUCUUUAGCUUGGGUAUCGUUUGGUAGGGUGAAAAACAUAAAAAGAAAAUAAGAUGCAAUCAAAAUUUUGAAUUAAAAUAUGAAUUUUAUUUUAUUUUAUUACUUUUUUUUCUCUUUAUGCAAACUAUUGGAGAAACUUACCACUUGUCAAUAGUUGUAUAAUAUUUACACAAUGUAAUGAUUUAUUAGCGUGGGAUUGAAUAAACGUUGAUAAAAUUAAUUUUAAAAUAAUAUAAUUUAUAUUUAGAUAUUUUAUUAUAAAAUUAAAUGAAAAAUAAAAUUUAUUAUAAAUUUUUGAAUUCAAUGUAAAAAUAACUCAAAAUUCCUUGACAGAAUAGUUUUGGCAAGCCAAAGACACACUUACCCGUUUAAUUUGUCUGACAAGCUUUCCACGUGUGAUUUCUGUCUUGAUCUUGUAGCCCCCUCUCUCAAACACAACACAGUCAUAUAUUCUCUCCUACAACUUUACCCCACUUUCUCUGCUUUUCAAUUUUACUCCUUCUUCCGGUUUUCAUUUUCAUUUUCUUCACAUUCCUCCUUUCUCUCUCUUUCAUUAUUGAGAGAGAGUUCUUCUCUCCAGACUUCUCAAUCCUAUGGCUCUGCAUUUUCUUCUCCUCCUGCUUUUUGCAGUGUCUUUUGUUGCUGCUGAUGAAGGUUAGUGACUUGACACUUUUACCCCUCUCCCCCCUUUUUGUUUUCUUUGCUAACUCUCCUGUUAUGAGAUCCUGUGUUUUCCACUAUUUUGAGUUAUGCUUGCAUUCUGAAUCUUUCAUUGCCCUUUAUUUUGUUUUCUCUACUUAGUUUGGCAUUGUUUUAGAAUCACUGCAAAACUCACUUUUGUUUAACCUGCAUGGUUCUUCUUGAGCCUUUACUUGUUCAGUUCUCAGUUCUCCUAUGACUCCUUGCUGUUUUCUUGAGGAGUUUUUGGAGUUUGCUUUGUGGGGAAUAGAACUUAACCAUGCUUUGUCAUAUCAAGGUCCAAAUACACUCUUCCCAUUUUCACACCUUUCCUAGCAGUAGCACACCCUUGCUGUGGAUUAGGAACUUAGAAUGUUAUUUGAGAUUUAAUUAGUGUUAAAAUGUUCAGAACCAAGGUUUGAUGGGGUCAUGCAAUAGCUGAGAUAUAAUUGGUUAUUUUGUUAGUCUGUUUCCUAGUAGAGUUUGUGUGUUUUUCCUUUGCAUUUUUAUCCUGUAUGGGAUUGAACUUCUGGCUAAUAAUUAAUAAACAUAUGUUUUUAAAAAUAGUCAGGGUUUUGUUGGUUGUUGAUCUUCUUGGAUGCGGUCCUCCUGUAGGAUUCAGAUUUUUGUAAAUUGAAUAGGACGUUUCUUUUGUCCUUCUAGUAAGUCACGUAUUGUCAUUUUCCCCAACAUUUGGAUGUGUGUAAUACUUUGUAGUAGAGGUUGGGGAAGUUAUUUUUGGAAAAGCUUUCUACUUUUGGGGAGCUAUUCUAUUGUCAUUUUCCCUCAAAACUUGGUUUGUUUGGAACAAACAUAAUGUGCGUAAGAGUCUGCUUGCAUAUGUUUCCCAGUUACAACUGGACUUGGUUAAUUCAGUGAGGACUUAAAUCUAAUUUUUGAUGGAUCUUAAUGUUUGUACCUUGCAGAACCAUUUAUAGGAGUGAAUAUUGGAACAGAUCUCUCUGAUAUGCCACACCCUACUCAAGUAGUAGCUCUACUUAAAGCCCAACAAAUUCGUCAUGUUCGUUUGUAUGAUGCAGACCAAGCUAUGCUCCUUGCACUUGCAAAGACAGGCAUUCAGGUUGUUGUGACUGUCCCAAAUGAAGAGAUCCUGGCAAUUGGUCAAUCGAAUUCCACGGCUGCCAAUUGGGUUUCCCGCAACGUGGUAGCACAUUAUCCAGCCACCAAUAUCACAGCCAUUUGUGUUGGUUCUGAGGUUUUAACUACCCUCCCGAAUGCGGCAAAAGUACUUGUCAGUGCGAUUAAAUACAUCCAUUCAGCCCUUGUGGCAUCCAAUCUUGAUCGCCAAGUUAAAGUUUCAACACCCCUUUCCUCAUCCAUCAUUCUUGAUUCAUUUCCACCUUCUCAGGCUUUCUUUAACCGCUCACUCAAUCCAGUUUUAGUCCCACUACUUGAUUUCUUGCAAUCCACUGGCUCUUAUCUGAUGCUAAACAUAUACCCUUACUAUGACUACAUGCAAUCAAAUGGAGUGAUUCCAUUAGAUUAUGCACUUUUCAAAUCUCUCCCUCCAAACAAAGAAGCUGUUGAUUCCAAUACCCUCCUCCACUACACCAAUGUCUUUGAUGCCAUGGUUGAUGCUGCAUACUUUGCCAUAGCUUUUCUAAAUUACACCAACAUUCCUGUUGUGGUGACUGAGUCAGGGUGGCCCUCAAAAGGUGGCUCCAACGAACCUGAUGCAACGGUGGACAAUGCAAAUACUUACAACAGCAAUUUGAUCAAACAUGUGUUUAACAAAACCGGAACUCCCAAACAUCCUGGAAUUGCUGUUAGUACUUACAUCUAUGAGCUCUACAACGAGGAUAUGAAGCCUGGGCCAUUGUCAGAGAAGAACUGGGGACUGUUUGAUGCAAAUGGAACACCUAUUUACAUUCUACACUUGACAGAGUCAGGGGCAGUCUUAGCAAAUGAUACCAGCAACAAUACUUUCUGCAUUGCAAAGGACGGUGCUGACCCGAAGAUGCUGCAGGCUGCACUAGAUUGGGCAUGUGGACCGGGCAAGGUCGAAUGCUCUCCAUUGCUGCAGGGGCAACCAUGCUAUGAACCGGACAAUGUGAUUGCACAUGCAAAUUAUGCAUUUGACACUUACUAUCAUAAGAUGGGAAAGACUCCUGAUGCAUGUGACUUCAAUGGAGUGGCUACUAUCUCCACCUCAGAUCCAAGUAAAUUAUUGUUCCCUAAUGCUAUGCUGGAUUAGCUUUAGCAUUUUUAUAUUUCUGUCAAUUUCUAUCUGCAAUCACUUCUAGGAUAAUUAACACAUUUUUUGAAUGAUUGUAUAGGUCAUGGUUCUUGUUUAUUUCCUGGAAGGUAAGAUAAGAUAUUUGCUUCUUUGGUUCAUUUUCAUUCUUUUCAUUAUCAUCCUAUGUUUGUUGUGUUGUUAACUUGUUAUUGCUCAAAAGUGAUGUCUUUGUGAAUAUGUGCAGUGUUGGCAAAAAUGGAACCUUAGGUAACUUCACAGCUCCAUCCAUGAAUUCUACAAAUUCAGAUUCCUCAGCCUACAAAUUCAGCUCUGACUUGAGAAUUAGAAGCCUUUUAAUGGUAGCAGGAUUUCUAUUAUGGGGAGUGGUUUUGCUAUAAAGUGGUAUAUGUCAGAUCGUGUUACUUUGAAAAAUUUUGUGGUGGAUGAUAAUGCUACUACUACAUAUUCGUCUUGGUAGCAUUGUGUUGUUCAUAGUGGUCCAUUCAAUUUUGUACAAAAACCAGCCAAGGGUUUGGACCGAAUGAGGCCGCAACUGAAUCAUCAUCAUCAUUAUUAUUCUUUUCAACUAGAAUUGAUUCAAUCUUUAUCAACCAUUGACUAUUUUUUAUUGGGUUAGUUAUAAUCUUGUGCUAUAUAAAUAUAUAUUGCACCCCCUCCCUCCCCCAAAAAAGGAAAAAAGAAGACUAUACUCAUUAUACAAAUCCACAGGGCUAUUAUUACAAAUUUGUCUAUGUAACUUUGUUUGAUUCAACUUGAAAGAGAAUAUAAAUUAGUAAGCCCAUCAUUAACCGAAAAACGUCUGAAAAUGUCAUGGGUUCUUGAGGUUAUAUUCAUUUGUUAACACGGGGCUUGUUUUUCUAUUACUGAAUUAGUCCAAGUGUCUAAUAUAGACAAAUUGCCGUUUCUGGUAUGUAUAUCUAUUGCUAAUUAGUUAGAUCAAUCGUAAUCUGGUAUGUUUCUAUUGUAUAAAUUGCUAGGCCUAUAGGAAUUAGGAAUACUCAGUUUAGAAUUUUAAUUUUAACCUUAUAUUCAAUUUUUUAAAAUGCAAAUGCUUUUUAAUUUCGUGUCUUUUUCGAGUUUUUCUUGUUAAUAAAAGUAUUUUUUUUAUUCAAAACAUCUUAUAUACAAAUAACGUAAAAGAAUAAACUAUAAAGGAAUGUCACGGUUAUAUAUAUAUAUACAUUGUAUCCAGUCUCAAUAGUUAUUAAAGGAAAUAAGAGCAUUUAGUUUUAAUCAUUGAAUUAAUUGCUCAGAUUGCAUUUUUUAUUAUAAAUAUCAUGCAAUUUGAAUUAAAAAAUCGUGUGAAGUUUAUAAAUUAGCAUGCAUUUUGAAGUGUUAAUUUUAAUCAAAUGAUUGUAAUUAAAUUCAUUUAUUUAUCAUAGUCAAAAGUUUUCACCUUAUUGUCACUUUAUAGAUAGAGAUAGAGGUGGAUUAUUGUUUCCCAAAAAUGUUUUAAUAUUUUUGAAAAAUCAUAUGAACUUUGUUUUUUUAUAUGUAAAUAAAAAUGAUCAAAUAGUUCAAGAACCGUAGAUUAAUUUAACCUUUGAAAAAUGAGUUGGAAGCAUUAACUCACUUUUUUGGGGAUAGACGGGCAAAAUGAUAUAAGUUAAUCUGUAUUAAUUUGAAGAAAAAACAGUAAUUGAAAUUUGAAAAACUAACUAAAAUUUUUAAAAAACUAAUUAAUAGCUAAUAGUUGUUAGGUUAAUUUUUUGUUACAAUAUUUUUUUUUUGUCAAAAAGAAGAGUUUAAGCUUGAUCUUGUUUUGAUUAUAGUUGUCGUGUGGAAAAAAAAUCAGUUAAGUAUAUAAAGCAAAUAAAAUUGGUUUGCACUACUCUUUUUUUUUUUAUGAAAAUUUGUUUGCACUACUUUUUGAUUGUUAUCUCCCUCCACAGGACAACUCUAUGCAUAUAAAUUAUUCAGUUUUAUACUUUAUUUUAUUUUUUAAUUAUAUAUACAUUUUAACAUUUUUUUUUAAAAUCCCGACUUAACACACGACAACUCUUGCAUUUUUGGCAUCGUGCAUAGGUGCUCGGUGCUCCCGUUUUUCGGCUUAAACGGCGGUACAGCCGAACAGUUACAGUGGCAAAUUGGUAAUUUCCAAAUCCCAAAACCCUAGCUCAAUCGGGGAUAUAUAAAUCAACUACGAGCCUCAUCCUCCCACAAGUUUCUCUGUUUUUUUUUUUUUUUUUUCAGUUCUGAUCAUUUUUCUUAACCUUAGAUGGAUAUCACUUCUCCAAUUUUUUCUGUUUUCAAUAAGCGAUUUUUUGUUGAAAGUGACGUGCAUCUACUAUGAUUCUCUUUUGCUCUAACAGUGGAAUAGAGAAUACGAAAAGAUGCAAAAUCAACAGGUUCCUCUAUGGACUGGCAUAGUCCCAAUUCUCAAUGGAUUUUUGCUAUUUCUCGUAGGUUCCACAAUUUCUAACCUUUUAACCAAUUUUCGCUUUCCCCCCUUUCUGGGUUUUGGUUUUCAUUCCCCAAAAUUAAGGAAUCCAUUGCAAGCAUCUUACUUUUACUUUUGCUUUUUAAUUUUUUUUAGUCUUCUGGGUUCUGAUUAUUUUUCCAUAAAAUUAACAAAUUCAUUACAAAGUUUGCAUUUUUUUUUGUUUGAAUCGAAUUGGAACCGUUCUAUGUUUUAUUGUUUUUCAGAUCUCACUUCUGGGUUCUUUUAUUUUUCCUUAAAGUUAACGAAUCCAUUACAAAGUUUGCAUUCUUUUUUGUUUGAAUUGAAAUAGAACCAUUUUAUGUUUAUUGUUUUUCUGAUCUCUCAUCUGGGUUCUGAUUAUUUUUCCUUAAAGUUAACGAAUUCAUUACAAGGUUUGCAUUUUUUGUUGUUUGAAUUGAAUUGGAACAGUUUUAUGUUUUUUUUAUUGUUUUUCUGAUCUCUACUCUAUGUAUAUGAAUGCUCGAUGAUUUUUUUGCUUUAACCACACCGAAUAGGGGCUGGACGAGGUUAUGGGUUCCCUUUUUCUUUAAGUGAUCUUUUUGUACUUGGUUUUGCCUCGUGAUUUCAUCUUCUAGCUGAAGAGGUAUUUAGUUACCUCUCCUUUUAGACAUUGGGAGAGGGCAUUUUCCAGCACUUGAAGUCUCGGCUUAAAUUGUAGGGGUCUUUACUCGUCUCAAGUUUUCUCAUGUGGAAAAAACUGGCCUUUCAACUGAGAGCAAUUCAUUACUGUAACUCUUCGAUGUUUUUGAAAAAUUGUUUUUAAUUCGCUUGUCAUUCUUGAUUGUUGAUUUGUCUCAUGGUGAUUGUUAUGGAUCUAUGGAAAGGAAGAUUGAAUUGGAUUGAUUAGGUCUUCUGCAGGUCCCAGAAGACUGCAGGGGGGGUGUUCUA
This 45319-nucleotide long non-coding RNA is filed under the name Glycine max (soybean). Its description in RNAcentral is "long non-coding RNA (GMAX_LNC000463)". Lineage: Eukaryota; Viridiplantae; Streptophyta; Magnoliopsida; Fabales; Fabaceae. The record is from RNAcentral.